CAAAACAAACCCACUAAGAUGGCUUCCUUUGUAUCCUUCCUAGUGCUGCUUCUUGCAGCCCUUAUCCUCAUGCCUCAAGGGCUUGCUACUUACUACAAACCAAUUAAGAAGCCACCAGUGUACAAGCCUCCAGUGUACAAGCCACCAGUGUACAAACCACCGGUUUAUAAGCCAAAACCACCGGUUUACAAGCCGAAACCACCGGUUUACAAGCCACCAUAUAAGAAGCCACCAUACAAGAAACCACCUUAUGGAAAGUACCCUCCAGUAGAGGACAACACCCAUGCCUAAAGCAAGCAAUGAGGUCUAUUAUCUACUUAAUAAAUAAGAGGAACUGCUUUGUGUUUUCUAGCAUUGUGACUUACAACUUCGUAGCAAUGCAUAUUCUUGACUCUUGCAUGCACUUCAAUCCUUCGUAGCAUUAAUGAUGUGGCCAAGUCAUCAUGAGCAUCAUACUUAUUUCUUUGUGAAUGUAAAUCAAAAUUAUAAGAGAGAAAAUGGUGCUUUUGUACUACAGAUUACUAUAAAUAAAAAACUUUUAUGGUUUUCAGAUUGUGCUGGUUGAUUGAUUUGCUCUACCAUUAAUUAUGACGAAACGUAGUUUUUUUUUUUCUCUUUUUUAAUCCGUAAAAAUAAAAAAAAUAAAAAAAUAAAUUUAUAAUAAUUCACACUUUAUUUAAUUAAUCGAAAUAAAUUCCAUAAUAGAUGAUACAUAGUUUGACAUACUAUUGUUAAGCUUAAGAUUAAAGAUCGACCCUAUGUUGCAACUAAACUUUCUACAAUCAAUUUUAUAAAUUGGAUUGGUGCAUGUAAGUCUAGCUAGCUAGAGGCAGAAGAACAGUACUAGAGUAGUAGAUGGAAGCCACUCUCCACGCACCUCAAAUAACUCGCAAUUAAACUUGAGCAUAACAUCAAUAGCGACUUAAGUUAAUUUCAAUUAUGGGCUCUAUUUGAACAAAUUUCUCUAUAAAUAUUUCCAGAAGAAAAUAUUAAGAAAACAAUAAAUUGAACUUCUCAUUUAAGUUAAAAUAAACAUAUUUGUAUAUUUUUUAUAUAAAAACUCUCAUUUAACUUCUCUUAAAAAUAUUGAAGUAUAUAAAUUAAUUUUAGCUUAUGAAAAAAAAAAUCAACUUAUUUUAAUUUUCUAUUCUUAAAAAGCCAUAGUUAUAGUUAAUGUGUACAAAGACCAGUUCCUACGAGAGUUGCUGUAUCCUCCUAAACCAAAUAUCCGAAUACUCCUACUCAGUAAGAAUAUUUUGAUAUCUGUUAAUAAUUUUAUAAUAAAUUAUUUAUUUAAUUUGACAUUUUAAUAUUUAAUUUCUUUCCAAGUUUACCCCUUUUCCAUAUGACCAGUCAACUUAUCCUCUUCAUUCGACUUUAAAAAGAGUGGGUGGUGGUGCGGUGAAGCUGAAAACCACACACAAUGAUGGUGGUGGAGAAUGUGAAAAUGGUUGUGGUCGGAGAAGGAGGUACAAGGGACAAAGUUAACUGAGGAAAAAAAAAACUCAGCGUGAGAGAGGGUCUUUUGAAAAAAAGGACAAAUUUGGAAAGGAGAAAAAAAGUUAAAAAGUGUGUUAACAAGUGUGAAUGCUUAGGUGAUUCAGUUACUUUUUCGCCACAUAUGAUCGGAGGAAUAAACAUUUCUCUUUUUCAUAUUACUAUUUUUGUAUGUUUGUCUACACGUACAUGUGGACGGUUAUUUGUAUCAAGUAUCAACUACAUAUGGGUGUCAAAAUUUAAAACUGAACCGAAUUUAAUGAAUUGAUUCAACAACUCUAAUAUAUAUGUGAUGUGAUUUGAAUUUUAAUAAUUUGCGUACGAUUUUAAUUUAAUUUUGAACCUACUUCAGUACAAAAAUUUACGUAUAAUCUUACUACAAGUACUUAAGUCACCACAAUCAUCUACACUCACAUCUUGAAAAAGUGACAUUGAUAGCAAAUUCAUGAAGUACUCACAGCUAACGUCAUUUGAUGGUUGAAUGAACCCCUCAGCUACCCAUAGCUGAAUGAGUGUUCUCUUAUCAAACUCAAAACCUUUUGGAAACAAUGAACAAUAAGCAAAACAGUUUUCCAAAAAUGAAGGAAGAUGGUCAAAACUCAGUUUAAGGAUUGCAAAGAUUUUGUCCUUCUCUUGAUCUAUCUUUGAAAACCCAACUUCCUUAGAGGCUAUUACUAUGCGCACCCAGCAUAAUUACUGGUACAUCCAGCAUAACAGCAUAAUUCCCGUUUUGUCCUUUCCUAAAAUUGAUACAAAUUGUCAAUUCAUAUAAGAUUUACGGAUUGUCCAAUCUGUAAGUAGCCCAAAUAUUUUUUUAAUUUUUUUUUUAAAAAAAUAUGUUUUAUGAAUUAAUUUAAAAUUAAUGAUUCAUGCAAGAAUCAAACUUAUAACUUUCACGUUAUUAACACGACAUUCUAACCAAUCUCAAUAUUCUUGUCAACCCUUUUAAGUUAUUUUCUUUAUGUUAGUUUUUAACCGAUGUUGAAAGUGCCGAUGUUGAAUGUAUUAUCGUUAACAUCGGUUUUAAAAAAACUGAUGUUAACGUUAAUUUUACAACAUCGUUUAUUUAAAUAACCAAUGUUGAUAAUAAGAAUUACACCCAAAAAAAUGUAUUAAUGUUGAUAGUUAACAUCGGUUUUUUGGAAAAAUCGAUGUUAACGUAACUUAACAUCGGUUUUUUUAUAUAAAAUUGAUGUUAACGUAUGUGUUAAUGUUGACAGUUAACAUCGGUUUUUUGGAAAAACCAAUGUUAACGUAACUUAACAUCGGUUUUUUUACAGAAAACCGAUGUUAACGUAUGUGUUAAUGUUGACAGUUAACAUCGAUUUUCUGUAAAAAAAAAGAAAACCGAUUUUAACGUACGUUAACAUCAGUUUUUUCCAAAAACCCGAUGUUAACGUAUGUGUUAAUGUUGACAAUUAACAUCGGUUUUUCCAAAUAAUCGAUGUUGUUUUCAGGAUUUUUUUUUAAAUAUUCUCUCUGUUUUUACAAAAAAAACCAAAAUUUAACCUGUAAAUUUAAAAUUAGACCACACAGCAUAUAUGAUUUGCAUUUUGCUUUCAAAUAGGUUUUAGCAGAAAACUAGCUAGUAAACUAUUAAAAUGAAACAUCAAUUGUAAAAAAUGUAAUGCAAAGUACGGUAAACUAAUUAAGUAACCUAAAGUUACAUAGUUCCCUAACAUCCUAUGUUUGAUUUCUAACUUUUAGAUAAUAUUGUGCCCACUGCAUGUGAAGCGCCUUGAAUCUCUCUGCUUCCAAUGAUCUAACAUCAUUAAAAUACUGGAUGAUCAAAUAAAAGAUAAAUUAAUGAUGUAAUAACAAUGAUAAGAAAAUCAACUUUGUUUGAAAUAAACAAUUACCGUUUCUCAAUUAUUCCUGAAAGUUCCUGAGAUUAUCGUGGACAUCUAGUGCAUGACGUAAUAGCUGUACUCAGUGUUUCGUUUUUGUCUAUUACACUAAAUACAUAAUGAAAUUUGGAUAUUAAUUAAGCGUUAACUACAAUUAGUGUACACACACAUAAGCAGUAUAUAUAAUUAGAAGUUUAAUUUAAAUCACGUACCUUAACAACAAUCCACCUAGCCGCAGCCUUGGAUUUAGGUUGUGGAGUAUCAUCAAGUCCUUUCAAAGCACUAUUGAAUACGAGGAACAUUAAAAUAUUGAUGUUGUUGAGUUAUGCUAAUGCAAAUAUAUUGAAAACAACAUUGACCUGUUAAUUAUUCCCUUAAGGUAGUUGUCUGGCCUGUUAUGUAAAGAACAAAACCAGACAACUAGGUUUUCCUUAGGCAAAAUGACGACCAUUUGCCAGUGUCCGCUGCAGUGGAGACGAAUAUGGGCUAUUGUAAUAGUAUAGAUUAUUUAAAUUCAGUUGUUGUGUUUGACUUACCAAUUCAGGUAAGCUCCAAGGUAAACAUCGCGUUUUGAACCCUGCAUCCAACUCUUGAUGUAACUUUUCGAUUCAAAUUGUGAUUGCCCAAAUCUCUGAAUGGACUGUGGCUCGAGAAAUCCAUACACAUCGGAAUUCCCCGCUCACAUACUUGUCUCAGUCAGAUGCCUGUGUUGUUAAGACAAAGUUAAUUAUGUAUGAAUUUAAAACAAUUACUUUGUUAAUUAACAGUAAUCUAAAUUGACUUACAAAAUUCACAACUGUAUAACAGAGAUGCUGAGACAUUGACCACCGUGUGCUAUUUCAUACAGAUCUUCAUGCUUUAUGUACAAGGGAAAGUCUGAAUUAAACAGCCCGAACAGGGAAGCAUCCCACAUAACCUUGAGAGGCUUCAAAAACAAUUGUGGGAUGGUCAAUGUCAUCAGAUGCAGAGGAUCAUCGACCUCACGAUCCGGGCUUUUUGGAGGUUUUGCUAGAGACACAACUGCCUGUUAAUCAAACAUAGUUAAUUAACAAGUUUUGAUUACAGUGAACAAAUCAAUUGAAAAAAAGAAACAUAUAAUCAGAGUAAAAUACCUGUUCUGAUAAACGUUUCACGAGAUGUAUCGGCCAAGCAAGGAAGGUGUUAAGUGUCUGCCCCACUAAGGUAACCUUGUCAAUGGGUACAGGAACGGGAGUCUCUGCAUCUUUAACCUCCUCAACACCAACCUUCACUUGGCCAUGCAACAAAGGGAUGUUAUGAACCACUGUGGAUCCCUCAUAAAGUCUUCCUAGGGCAACCAAGUAGGAAGGAUUUUCUUCAAUUUACAGCCCGCAUUUGUCUGAGUCAUCCGUCUCUGGAUCGUUCCCUGAGGAAUCAACACAACUCUUCUUUGUGCUGACACGAGCACUUGAGGGACCAACCUUUGGCUCCGGAGGCAGUGUAAAUCCCUGUGAUUGCAUCUGAGACUGAAACUGGGACUGCAUUUGGCUGAAGGAUGCCAUCACCUGCUGAGUAACUUUUUCUGUGAUCGACUCCUCCAGCUAGUCCCUGAUUUGUUGGGUUAACUGUUGUAGGUCUUCAGGAGGCAUAGAGGAAGAACUACGGGACAUUCGUGUAGCCAAUCCGAAAUAUUGCUUUAUGGUCACAUCAGCUCCAGCAGCACGGACACGGCCAGGGUGCUCUGAUCGCCCAAUGACAACAGUCAGGACAUCCUGACGUCUAUGGGGGACGAACGAUCCCUGUGACGCCUGCUCCUCCAAAGAAUCCUGUACAUAACACAUAUAUCUGUCCAAGGCAUUCACAAAAUACACAAAGAUAAUUACAAUUCUUAAUUGAAAAUGACUUACAAUCUUCUCAGUUAUUUCCUUUGUUGCCUCAGACGUCAUCGGCCCAGUUUUCUUUGUGUAGACCAUUUUUCACUUCAUGUGGCGUCUGAUGGGAGAUGGAGGGUCAAUGACGCCCUCAGUGCUUUCGGAUUGGGCAGCUUCCUCCAGUCUUUUCUUUGUCUUCUCAGCCAUAAGCUUUUGUUCUAAAUAUUCAUAACCCCCACGAAACAACACGUGGGGGGCAGUGUUUUGCUUCUGGAUGACUUGUGUUUUUUUCCGCACAUCCUGCAAAAAUCGAACAUUAAUGAAAAUGAUUACUACAAUGAAUUAUAAGAAGUUAUUUUUUUUGUGGAAAACAACUAAAAUGACAAACUACAUACCUCCCACGAGGGGUCUCUGCGGGUCUGACAAAACUUGGCCCAUUUCUCCUUGCUAAUGUCGCAUUUUUCACAGACAGUGUCGUCCACACCGUCCUUGUCGGCUGCAAGUGCCCAUUUCCUGGUCAAGUCAGAUUUAAACUGCCUCCACGGCUUGUCGACAGUCUGAAGAAUUUUCUUCUUUGUCCUACUGUUAGAAGCUUCAGGGAUUUCAGAUGUUAAGAUCAAGUAGUUAACAUCGGUUUUGACAUCGGUUUUGAAAAAACCGAUGUUAACUAACUCGACUUAUUUACAAAAAUGUCAUCGUGCUUUUCUUAACAUUGGUUUUUUAAAAAAUCGAUGUUAAUCGUGCGAUGUUAAAUCUAUAUUUUGUAGUAGUGUUUAGGUAUCUCAUAAAUUAGUCAAUUUUAUUUUGAGUUCUUAAAUUUUUUUCUUUUUAUUUGAUCCUUGAUAUUUUAUUUUUGAGUUCAUGCCGUUAAAAAUUUUAAAAUGCAAUUUUUUACUACUAAAAAUAAUAACAAUGUAAAUUUAUUUAAAAUAUUAAAUUACCAUUUAUGGCAAUUCAAUUGGAAAAAAUGAAGUAGAUAUGAUCAAAUAAAACCUUACAGACAAGACGAAGUCUAAGGUGGUCAAGUGAGUUAGGUGAUUUCUGGUGGUCAAAUAAUUUUUUGCCAAUAGAUUUAUUAAUAAAAUAUUAAACCAUUCAGAUGAAAUCUUUUUGUCAGUUUUUAACAAUUAAAAUUAUUUCCUCCCUUGUCUGUCGUGCACCACCAUUGGCAACACGUCACUACCUUGCUUUACUUUCCACUCUUCUUCUUUCCCUCUAUUUCCCUUCGUACUUUGACACCUCCGUAACCUCACUGUCAUGUUGUUGAAUUCACAUCCUUGAUUUUAAUUAUGACAAACCAUUAGCAAAACAAAUUGAAAGGAUGAUGGGUUUAAGUGAUGGCUAACAUUUCUCCCAAGCGUUUUAGUGUUUAUUCCUUAAGAAGCAUAAGUGUUCUUUCAUUCUGAUGUACUUAGAAUGAUGCUUAGAAAGGUUCGAAGAAUUGUUGUGAGAGUUGAAAACUUAGAAGAAUCCUUAAAGCCCAUCAAAAUGAUGAAAUUUGCUUCCCUUUGAAUACUUAGUUCUUGGCAAGAUACUGAACAACCUUACAUAAAAGAUUCAUCAAAAGAUUCAUCAAAGGCUACCAGAAGAACAUCUUGGUUUAGAAUGAAGUUAUGCAGAGUCUACAUAGAAUGACAAACACCUUGACUCUGAGUUUCUAAACAUCAGAAUGAUUCAGAAAGACUCAUAAUGCAUCACUUAAACAAUAUUAGAAGAUUAAAGUUUCACAUUUCUUCACUUUGCAUAUGCCACCACAAUCACUGUAGGCACGUUAGAAAGUAAGAAUUGACUGCAUAAAAAGAUGUAAAAUUGUUGAAUGAUGAAGUUGUCCAUGAGAAGCAUUAAUGUAAACCAUCAGAUUGAAGGACUAAAGAAAACUACUCAGCCUGACCAUAGACAAAACACUAACACACCAACAACUCAAUUUCUACUAAGUCUUUCUAAAGUAAAUCAACUUAAGAAUGUUUCAAAGUUGUGAACAAGUGUUAAGAGUGAUGAAGUUGUACGACUUCGGAUUGAAAUUUCUAUCUAAACUUCGUCAAAGGAAUUCAUUAAGCAUGGACUCAUUCUUUACAAACAUCAUAAUGACUAUUGUGAUGGUUCUUCAGAAUCCGCAUAAAAAAAGUUCCUCAGAAUGGUAAUCUCCAAAUGGUUUUGUCUACUGUCACUUCAUGAUAGUUAUAAGGUGAACCUACUUGCUCCAGAAAUGUUUCAGUUGUGUGGAGCCCACUACAAUGAUUUUCUUGGGAGCUUUAUAAGGAAUUUUAGAAGGCUAUGAAGAACAAGUUGAAGCAUUCCAAAUUUGUAUCACAUUGUGCAAGUCCUUUGAGUAAGAAAUUUGUGUUUUAGCUUCAACCCUCUCUGUUAGAGUGACCCACUUUUGUAUUGUGCUUUCAAAGCUUGUAAUAACCUUAGAUAGAAAUGAGAGAUUAAGUUCUUGAGUGGAAUCCCUCAUGUGAGGUGAAAAUCUUUAGCAUGUGUCGUAAAACCAUAGAUAUUUUUUUUUUAUGUAAAGUCCAAUAGUGACUAGCAAAGGUGAAAUCCAGUGGUGCAGCUGGUCUAGUAGAAGAUUGAAGUCUAGUAAGGAAUUGACAAGGUUGUGAAACCCAAUGGUUGUUGGUCCAGUUGUGAAUUGGUUGUGUUACUGAAAUAACAUCUUUAAGGGUGAGGAUUGGACGUAGCCCAAGGUUGGGGUGAACCAGUAUAAAAACCUUUGUGCACUUUCUUCUCUUUCUCUAUAUUUUGUUCUUGCACAAAUCUAAAACUACUUUUGUAUAAAAUACUAAAUUUGUUAACUUUUUAUCUUAACAACUAAACUAAGUUUUGUUUUAUCAAGAGGUAUUAGUAAAGAACUAUCUUUAAAACAAAAGUCUUAAAACUGCAAAAGAACUAUUUUUUUGAAUGGUUUGCAUUUUCAUUCUGAGUUGCUUGAAUUUCCAUUCUAAGCUCAUAACAGUUUUUAUAUUCUGAACUACCAUAAAAAAAACCUUUUUGUUUUCAAAGGAAGAUUAAAAGUUUUCAAAACCCCAAUUAAACCCCCAUUUUUGGUAUUUUUCUCACUUCAAUUAGCAUCAAAGUUUAAAUGAGUUAUUCACGAGCCCUUAAUGUCAAGCUUUCAAAGCUUGAGUUUGACUCAUUUAAAUAAUCAAGCUUAAUCUCAAGCUUAAAUUUGUUUGUUUAAUUAAACAAAUGAACUUAAAUGAUUAAUUAACAAGUUGAACUUGAAUAGUUCACAAAUAGUUUGUCUUAUUCACAUCCCUAACUCUUCAUUUUUUUAUCCAUAGGAAUUGAAUAAGAUAUAAAAAAAUUUAGAACACUCAGACACCCUGCUUAAUCAACUAAGUUAGACACCUUUAGUCCCUAACUCUUCAUAUGGUUAUAAUCAUAUUCUAGUAACAAUAUGUUUCAUUUCACUACCUUACUAAAUUACAGGACUGACUUCAUUAUUUUGCAACACCCUUUACAUCACAUCAUUCAUUCAUAAAAUUUGCAUUAGUUAAAUAAAAUUAUUCAUCAUCAACAACUAUGUAAUGUAUACCACCAUGCAAUCAAAGGAUAAGCAAUUAAGAAAAUAUUUAAGCUUAUAUAAUCCAAGUAGCAUGAUUGCCUUAAUUGGUACAUAAUGCAAGGCAUAAAAACCAAAAAGUGGCAGUAUGUGUAAUAACAAAAUGAAACAAAGGAAGGAGAAAAAAUUAUUUGUGUGUUACAAAUAAAGAGGAGGAAGAAGGAAUAAUUUAAAAAUAACUCCAUAUAUUAUUUGUUCUAUUAUUUUAUCCAAUGAAUUGUGAAGAAAAUAGAUGCAUUAGUAACUAAUUAUCUAUAAAAUUAUAUGAAUUGGUCCAAUAUAUUAUUUAUUUAUUUUGUAAUUGAAGAAUUUUCUCAUGAUUAACUUAGAUGAAUAAUGAAUAAGUUAAUUAUUUUGUUGCUCCUAAUUUAACCUGGUGUGUCUAUAACUCAUGGUUCAGGUUGACCCAUUCUCUUAAUCUAACUUUGUUUGUUCAUUGAGUUGCUCUUUAAUAUGGGUGGGCUUAUUAUCAACAUGGCCAGUAAUAAUGGGAAUUGAAUCAUGCACUCUCAUAAGUGUAUCCUAGAUCCCACUAUUCCGUUUGAAAUUAUUUGAUUGCCUUUAAUCAAUUAGCACUAUCUUCCCCAACCCAUUCGCGAUGUCUCCCUCCUACGAAGGUUGCUCCCUUCCUCCUUCGUCUCAAACCUGCAUAUCCUCGUUCCCUUCCUUCUUCGUCAUUGAAGGCAAGCUUCUUCCUUUCUGGUGGGGUUGGGGUUGGGUUCUGGUAGGGAUGGGUUUUGGGGGUGGCUUCUGGUAGGGGUGGUUUCCGGUGUGGAUGGGGUCGCAUUUCAAAAUGCUCAUUCUGUAACCAAAAAAUGCUUUCGGAAUGAGCUUUCCAUAAGCAAAAAAAGCUUCAAUUUUUCAUAAGCCAAAAAAACAUUCAGAAUAGUUGUUCUGGAAGUACUUUAGCUUAAGCAACGACUAUUCCAUAAGCAAAUUUGUAAAUCCAAAACAUCCUGUCUAGAAGUGUAUUUUAUAUAUUUUGUAAGGGGGGUUCCAAAAAUUAGUAUUGGGCUUACAAAAAGCCCAUUAUGGAAGCAACAUCUGCAAUCCAAAGUAGCCUUUCCAAAAGUGUAUUUUGCAUCUUUCAAAAAGUACGAUUUUGGCUUAUGGAAUGACCAUUUCGAAAACAAAAUUGCAAUCCAUAAUAGUUUUUUGGGAGUACAUUUUGUACCUUCCAAAUGUUCAUUUGAGACAACAAUAUUUUUACUUACGAAAUAGGUGUUCCAUAAGAUUUUUCCUUCUGAAAUGGUCAUUCCAUAAGUGAAUUUAUCCCUUACGGAAAGCCUAUUUCGGAAACAAGUUUACAACAUGAACGUGAAUGCACGUUAAAAUGUACCUGCAAAGUGGAGAGUUAGAGAAGGAGAGGGACUUUUGCGGUGUUGAGUUGGACUUGCUUUGUACCUUCAAUGGUUGCGAGAAAAAGAGUUGGAGAAGAUAAGAAGAACUGGAAAAGGGGUUUAGACUUGCGCUAUAGGAAGAGAAGAACGAGAAUGGGCUGCAACUACGAGAGAAAGAAGGGAAACCGAGGAUGAGGAUAGAAAGGGUAGGUUGGGGUUUAUUAAAAAAUGGGAGAUGCAUGAUACAUUUAGGGAGGUGCAGAAUUCCAGUAAUGACCAACUCAAGUCCAAUUAAUGGUGACAUCAUAAGUUAAUGACUUAGUGUCACUUUUGAUCCAUUAUGUUUCGCAAUUAUUUUGUUUUAAUACAUUGAGUUUAAAAUGUUUCAUUCCAAUCCUUUAUGUUUUUGAAAUAUAUUGUUUUGACUCUUUUUCUAAUUUUCUAUUUGAAAUGUUAGUUUUUUGUUAAUAUUUAAAUUUCAAAAUAAUUAAUUUAUGACAGUGGUGAUUAAAAAUCGUCACAAUAUUUAAAUUAAUUAUCUUAUUAUAAAUAUAAUUAUUUAAACAUUAAUUGUAGCAAUUUUUAAUUCCAACAAAUUUCUUAUUAAAUUUUUAUAAAUGAUUCUUCAUCCUUGAAGAUUCAAUCUUCAUUCCACAAAUCAACAAAUGCAGUUUACAAAUAGCAAGAACAAUUUUUAUUUGCAAGAAACAUAGAGAUGUUCACUCAAUAAUGAUAUAAAACUUGUUCUUUUUUACACAACAAAACACAAUGAGCCCUUUUUUUUUUUAUCACAUAUGACGAAAGCAACAGCUCCAGGGUCAUUAAUUAGCUUUGCAAACGGGAUCUGAUAAUCACAACCGUGGUUGAUAAUCCUCCAAUGUAAUUUGUGUUUAUAAAUUUUAUUUUUUACUCCUUUAUAUACUAUUCAUUUUCUAAAAAAGAUUACUCAUGUAUGUAACUAAAGAUUAUAUUUUUUGUUUCUGUUUAAAAAAAUGUUUUCUUAUGUUAAUUUUUUUUCUUAAUCGAUGCUUUAAUGAUAUAAGUAAUUAACUAUUUGCUCCUGCAAUGUAGUUUAAGUGUUAUGCUACAUUGUUAGUUUUUAUAUAUGCAUGUGGGAAGGUUCACUUGGAACAAGUUGCAGUGCAAACUUGGAGUCUAAUAUACAUAUAACCAUUAAUGGAAGCCUUCAUUCCAAUAGACAAUAUAUAUAAGUUGUUUCGUGCUUAUAAAAUUGUAAUGUUUUUUGUAAAGGAUGUUUAAGUGUGUCAAAUAUGUUAUAGCAAGGCAAGGUACGUAGCAGUAAACUUUAAAUGAUGAGUCAAGCAUUUCCAGUAAAUCUACUCUAAUUGCAUGUUUACAUUGAAAUUUUAAAGUAUUAUUCAUUUUAUGUUAGUAGUCCUACAGCUGGCUACUAGCUAGCAUGAAUGUUUAUGUUGUUAUUUUGUGGAGAAAGUCAAAUAAUUGUUUUAGGUGAUUAAUUUCACGCAUUUAGAUAUGGAUGCUGAAAAUUCUUAAGUCAGACUUUGAAUUGUUUCAUGUUCAUAUUAAUAUUCAUAUAAAGAGAUAAACAAAUAUGUAACUUAGCUCUAUUUUUGUUUUGGUGAAUUAGCUCUAUUUAUUAUAGUCUAAUAAUAAUGGCUGCAUGUUGGACUAAAUAGCAGAAAUAUACUUUGCGGAGAUCAUUAAUUGUGAUCAAAAUUGUGGCAUUUUUUUAUUACCACUCAUAAAAUUAUCACCAUGAAAACCCUACUAAUUACGCAUUUAACGAUCCUCAAUUAUUUCAGUAAAAUAAAUUUUUGUCUACCUUAAUUUUUUUUUUCUGUAAAAUUCUCCUAUAGUUAAAUUUACAAUAGAAAUUUUCAAACGAUACUUUUUUUAAGUAAAUAAUUAAUUAAAUUUAUGCAAAAUAAUUAAAUUAGGUCAUAUCAAAUUUAAUAUGAAUUAGAUUAUUAUUUUAAUACUUAUUUACUUACAUAAAAAUAUUUAUUUUUUAAAAAAUAUAAUUAUUCACAUGAGAUUUAUAGCAAAUAAUUUUUUAACUUAAUAUUUUUAUAACUUAUUACAACUUUUUUAAACAUUAUACACCAUUGUUUUAUUUUUUGCAAUUUAUUUUUCUGUAGUUAAGGUACAACUUUGAUGAGGAAAAUGGACCAAUAUUAUAGAUAAAUCACAUUAGUCAAAAAAAUGUGAAUAAGAUGAUUUAUUAAAAAUCAUAUCACCAUUAAUUUAAUGUUUUAUAUAAAAGACAGGUUUGAUAAUGAGUUUAUAGUUUAGGAAAUUUAAAUUAAGUGAAGGGUAAAAUGUCAUGAAUAAGUUUGAAAAUUCAUAUCUUAUUUUUAGGUAUUGAGAGAAGGAUAAUGAAUUUUAAUGAUUUUAAUAUUGUUUAUUUGAAUUUGUGCAUUCGUUCAAUGAAUUUUAUUUUUCAAUAAAAAUAUCAAAUGUAGAAAAUAAAAUAAAAGAUUUUUUCUUUUUCACUAUUUUGAUUCUUAAUUUCAUAAAUAUUUUAAAUAAAUUUUAUAUUAAAAUUAAAAAUAUAAUAAAAAUAUUUGUUUUAAUCAAACGUGUUUUUAUUUUUUAUAUGAUUUUGAAAAGAAAUUAAAAGAGAGAAAAUACAAAAUUUUACUCACAAUAUAAAUUUUUUUCAUGAUAUAAAAAAAGAAAAUAGGAUUAAUAAAAUUUUGUAUGAUAAAAUAAUUAAUAGUAAAUUUAUUUAUUCUUUCUUUUACUUAUCAUUAUUUUAAAAAUAUAUAAAAUUUCAUCAAAAAUAAAUAUAUUGUAAUUCUUCCUCAAGUUAAAUGAUAUAUAAAGUUAUAUUUUCUUAACUCUAAUUUUUCUUUAUAUAUAUAUAUAUAUAUAUAUAUAUAUAUAUAUAUAUAUAUAUAUAUAUAUAUAUAUUUUGUUAAAUUUCCCUUUACUUCCAAAUAAAUAAUAAUUUUCAUUUUCCAAAACAAAAUUAGGUGAAGAGAUGAUUUGGAAAAAUAAGUAAAAUUUGAGAUAAUUAUUUUUAAUUAUAUAAAAAUUUCUAAACAAAAAUUGUAAAUGUUUAUCUGUCAUUAUUUUUCUGAAGUUUUAAAGUUAUUGUUUAAAAAAAAUUACACCUCCUACACAUAAUUUGUCCAGUGUGUCGCACAGAAACAUGUACUAGUGUAUGAAUAUAAGAAUAACACAUCCUUAUAUAAGUAAUUUGGUGUGAUCAUUUAUAUUUUCUUUUUCUUUUAUGUGAUUCUCAUCAUAUAAUAUAAACGGUAAUAUUAAUAUAUCGUUAGUUUGAGUAAAAUUAAGUUUAUUUUUUAAAAAUAAAAUCUAAGAUUCAAAUGUUAUAAAUAAAUAAAAAAUAUGAUUAAAAAAAAGCCAUCUAAUUUUUUUUGACAAAGGUUAAUGAUAAGUUUAAUCUGAGCAAUAACAUGACAGUAGAAGCAACCGACUGCAACUCGUCUACUUGAAUAUCUUCCUAAUAAUUGUUUCAACUUUCAAGCCUCGUGUGCUUUGACAUUUAUGCUCCAUAUCCUGAAAAUUUUGAUAAGAUAAGGGACCAAUCUAUACACAGUCCCAAGGAGAUUUGCAAGUAAGAAGAGAAAAAAAUAAAAUUCCAGACCCAUUGUUGGUGAAGGCGAAAUGUGUAGUGGGUUGUCAACGCAAUGCAAUGGUUCACAGUGUGCUGGUCUUAUUGAUGUUUUUUGGUUGCAGGUUCAAUGGUGGUUCUGAUGUAGAGAAGAAGAUGAAAGGGCCAAGGAGGAGAGAAUGGAACAGAGGAAGAAGAAGAGGGUAGAUGAGGAAAGAGAGAAAGAAAAAUCCAAAAAGAAAAUAAAAAUCCCAGCCAUUGAUUUUAAUUUUAAAAUAUCUAAUAAUUUCAAUUAGUUUCCCACUAUGCCAAUCUCGUAAAACUUUCGUCUGGCACCGUGCCUCGCUGUUGAAGGGUUCCCAUGCUAGCAUCUGCCAACACGAUCUGACAUUUCAACUAGGGGUGGGUAUAUCGGUCGGUUUAGUCCGUUUAAGAUCUGACAUGUGAAAUCAAUAUUUUAAGCUUAUUGGGUAAAUCUGGUUGUAAAAUAGAAAGAUUUUUUUUCUUUUUUUUAGAUUUAUAUUGGUUUCCUAAUCCGGUAAAUAAACGAAUUGGUCCGUGGGUUCAAUUAAUAAUUUAAAAAUAAAAAUAAAAAUAUAUUUUUAAUUAUUUGGUAGGUUCGCAAGCAAGAGAGGGGCAACACACGUCAACUGAAGAAGAGAAAGUAAUCUUGUGGAUCUCGUGACAGAAUGAGAGCUGGAGAAGGAGUGAGAGUUAAAAAGAAGAGACUGCCAAGUAUAAAGUCUCAACUCAAAUACUAAAUUUAUGUAAUUUUUAUUUUAAAAUUAAUUUUAUCUUAUUAGUAAAUCUGUGUAUAAAAUUCGUUAAAUUUGCAUACUUAACGAAUCAAACUCAAAUAUUAUUUAUAAUUAUAUGGAUUUAUAAAAAAAUAAAUUGAUAAUAUGCUCAAUCCACGAAAAUAACGGACCGUCCCCGCAAACCUGAAUAGUCAUCCCUAAUUUCAACGGAGUGGAAAGUGGGAAACCAUGAAACUUGCUACGUACUGUGAAAUUAAAAGGUCCGUACUAAUGUACGAAAUUAAUAAUCUUCUCCUCCCUUGUCGUCAUUUCUCACCUCAUCAUAUACAUAAUAAUACAUUAGUACUUUUUUAGGAGGACAGGCCAUAUAUAUUUUUAACACAUUUUUAAUAUUAUUUGUUGUUAAUUAGUUUUUUAAUAAAUUAUAAGUUAAGUUAAAAUUUAUUAAAUUUACAAAACUAUAAGAAAAAAACAUUAAAUAAGAUGUAGGAUCUACAAAAUUUAUAAUUUAUAAUAAAUUUUAACUAAUAAAUUUUAACUAACAAAUUUUCAGCAUUUUUCUAUUCUUUUAGACUACAAGUAUUGAUUAAGUUAAAACAACCAUGUGUUAAUGGUUCCUAUAGUAAUAUUAUUAGGAUAGAAUAUAAUUAUUUUUGGUACAAAAAUACAUGGGAUUUAGAUAAAAAAAAAUCCUGUUAAUUAAUGUUACAAGAUACAUUAUUUAAACAUUUAAAAAUUAACAUUACAUUUAGCAUUUCAAGUUUUCAACGGAGUAGAAAGUGGGAAACGAUGAAAUUUGCUACUCUUAAUUUAAAAGGUUCGUACUAUAAAUUAUAAUGAGAUUCGUCUUUACUUUCGCACCCUCUAUACAUUAUAGUAAUUUAAAGUGCAUGUGAUAUGGUAUGCGAAUAUUUCUACCUGUUGUUUAAAAUUUAUUUAGAAUAUAGUACGACACUGAAACAUUAUUAUCUCAUAAAAAAAAUUUAUAUAAUUAAAAAUAAAUUUAAUUUAAUACAUUGAUAAUAUAAUUUUUUUAUAUCAUCAAUUAAUUAAAAAUCAUUCUAAAUAUAAAUUUUAAAAUAACUAUUAUAAAAGUAAAAAAAAUUAAUAUACACAACAAUUCAUAAUUAGAUGACAUUGCGUUUUAAUUAAUUCAUUGAAAAUUAGUGCCUUUUAUAAUAAAUAAUCUAGAAGUGAUAUUUAAAGUGGUUUCUAAUUAGUUAUUAGUAUACAUUUUUACAGUAGCAUAGUUUUAAAAUUAAACUUCCAGUAUAUGUUUUUAUUUUCUAGAUAUACAUGCAGAUUAAAAAUAUAUUUUAAAACUAAAGGAGACUUUUUUGUUAUAUAAUAAUAAUAAUAAUAAUAAUAAUAAUAAUAAUAAUAAUAAUAUAAAGUGAGAGAUGGAAAUGUAUGAGGGGACGAUGUUCGAUUUAUUUUUAUGAUGGGAACAUAAUUUUUUAAAAUAAAAAAUAAUUAGAAAAUUUUAUUUAAAAUAUUUUUAUUAUUAAUAUAUCUCUUAUUAAAAUUAUAUAUAUAUAUAUAUAUAUAUAUAUGAGAUUGCUAGCAUACUCUAAUGUUAGAGUAUUUAAAUAACCUACAUCAAAUUAUUAGAAUAAAAAGCUUAACUAUUUAUUUUGUGAUAAUAAAUUUAUUUAAAAAAAUAUGAUAAUUUAAUAUUUAUAUUUUUAAAAUUCAUUUAUUUAUCUCUUCAACUCAUUCUCUCUCCUCUCUUUUUCUCUCACAUCAUUUAAUAUUUAUAUUUUCAAAAUUAAAAUUUAAAAUAUUUACCGAGAGAAUGAAUGAGGAAAAUAAAUAAAUGAGUUUUAAAAAUAUAAACAUUAAAUUAUCAUAUUAUUCUUAAAUAAAUUUAUUAUCACACAAUAAAUAGUUUAAUCUUUGAUCUAAAUAAUUUGGUGUAGGUUAAAUACUCUAACAUGAGAGAGUAAGUUAACAAAUCAUUUUAUGAAUGUACGUAUGGGAAGGAAGAAUGUAAUAGAAAACAAAAAAGAAAGAAAAAGAAGGAAAUUAAAAAUAAUAAAUGUAAUUAAUGAUUUAAGAAAAAAAUAAAAAUAUAGUAUACAAACGAGAAAAUAAUUACAGUCAGACUCAGAAACUGUCAUGAUAUUUAUUCAUCUCUAAGUAAAACAUAAUUUUAUUUUAUUUUAUUUUCCCCUCAGAAUUUUAAAAACUCAAGUGUCUCAUGUAUAGCCAAAAAAACCAUAGACGCAUGGUAGUUGGAGAGCCGAGAGCCUACAAUUAUUUCUGAGACAAAAGAUGGAAGAUAAAGUUUACAUAAUUGUUCUCUCUCCAAUUUCUAUUAUAAGAAAAAAAAUAAUUUCAUAUUAAUUAUAAAAUUAAUUAAUUUUAUUAAAUUAUGUUAAUUCCAAAUAAAAAUAAGUUUUUUAAAAAAAUUAUUUUUCAUUAAAACUUGAUAUCAAACAUAAAAAAAAAAUUAUCCUAUCAAAUGAAAGACAUUUAUUUAAAAAUAGUUUUAUUAAAUACGGUAAAGUUAAUUAACUUUUGUUUAUAUAAAAAAAAGCAAUUUUUUUGUUGCUUAUUAAAAAGACCAGUGGGAGUACUAAUUAAAACAAAACUAUGGCUGCUAUGUAACAUGGCACCAGAGAGUCUCAAUCCUUAGAGAAAUUAAAUACCAAACUUUGACAUUUCACAGAGUGAUGGUAGUAAUAAAUGACAAGGAAUGAGACCCAGCAUGGACCCAGUCCUUUGACCACUAUUAUUGUCCAGCUCAAUUGAAAUUUUUUUAUUAAGAGUUUAACUUAGUUGAAUAUGAUAAAUAAAUUAUUAUAAUUUUUUAAUAUUUAUUUUUAAUUUUUAUGAAUAAAAAACUAUUACAAUCUCAGUUCAUUUUCUUGGGACACGUAAUCAAGUUUAAUAACUAUUUCUCAUAGCUUAAAAAUUCAGUUAUGUCGAGUAUUUAUGUACAAAUUAGUUAGAACAAUAGGCGCGUAUAGUGGUCGCCCUCUAAGACAUAUAAUUGUGAAGAUCGAAGAGAAGCUUUAUACAAUUAUUAAUGAUAAAACUAUCAUUGUUAUAUAACAUGGGGCCAUAAAUGAGUGCAUGGAUUGAAUGAUGCAAAAUUGUUACAACUUAAUUAAUUAUCUUGAGUUUUAAUUUUAAAUAUAUAUUUGUGUUAAAUACUCCGGAAAGAGUUUUAUGUUCAUAAUUAUUAUAUUUAACUUGAACAAUAUUAACUCAACUGAUGAUGCAUAUAUAGUUUAUACAAAAAAUAUAUAUAUAACAUGGGACCUAGGCGAUGGCAAAACGGGUUGGAUCUAUUCGAUCAACCCAUUUUGGGCUUUUUUUUCGAAUUAGGUUGGAAUUUUCAAUCCUUCAACUGCUUUGCUAUGUUUUGAUCCGCUACAAAAUGGGUUGAGAGGAAAGUAGAACGGACCAACUCUCUAACCCGUUUUUUUUAUUAAGAAAUAAUUUUAGUAUUUAUUUUGAUAUUUUAUACUAAUAUUUAUUAAUUUUCAAUUAGCUUAUUUUUUGUCUAAAUAAAUUAUUAUUAAAAAUUUAAGGUAAUACAUUUAAUUUUUUAGUAAGUAUUUAUUAUUUAAUAUUUAUAAAAGAUAAAAUUAAUUAAAAUACAUUUAUAAUUUAUUUUUUUAGUUUUGACAUGACAAAAACGAAAUGAACUGAACACUUUGAAUCUAUAUAUAAAAUACGGGAUGAGAUGGGAUGGAUUGAUCCGUUUUUUAUGGAUUGAUCCCUUUUUGCUAGCCCUAAUGGGACCAAAGAGUCACUAUCCUUUAGAAAAAUUCACACCAAACUUUUGACAUUACAGGCAGGGACAAUGCGAGUAAUAAAUGGCAUAGAAUGAGACCCUAGUCCUCUGGCCACUAUAAAAAGGGAUGAUUGUGUGUGUUACAUGCAUCAGCCACCACCAUUGACUAGUAUCAUUAAGAUGGCUAAUUCCUACUUAUCCUUGCUUGUCUUGAUCCUUGUAGCUCUGCUCCUCACCCCUCAAGGGCUUGCUGAUGAAUCUGAUUCUUACUAUAAGCCACCAGUUUACAAGAAACCACCAGUGUACAAGCCCAAGCCCAAGCCACCCAUUCACAAGCCCAAGCCACCCGUUUACAAGCCCAAGCCACCCGUUUACAAGAAACCCCCUUAUGGUAAGUACCCACCAGUUCAAGACAACGAUCACUUCUAAACCAUGCAACAAGGCAUGUUAAUGUUAACUAUCUACUAAAAUAAAGAGGUUCAGUUAACCUACUACGUACGUUGCUCCUUUUAAUUCCUAAAUCGUAAUUUACAACUUUGUAGGGAUGAGACAUUCUUGGCUAGCUCUGCACUUCAAUCCUUUAUUUGUACAAUGCUAUGGCCAAGUCAAUACCAUGCAUCUUAUCUAUGUGUGUCAUUGAACGAAGUAGUUGCGUGAAAAUGAUGCUUGUACUAUGAAUAAAUAAUAAAAGAACUUUAUCAUUUCAAGAUUGUGCUGUUUAGUUUAUUUGCUGAACCACCGUUACUGACCAUAAAUAAUACACAUGCAGGUCUUGUUUAGGAUAAACUUAAUUAUCCGUAACUUUUGAGAAAGAAUAUUCAAAAUUAAAAUAAAUUAAACUUUUCUAGCAAUUUAAAAUCAACUUGAUUUAUUCUCCUCCUUCUAACAUAAUUUAUUUUCUGAAUUAUUUAGUUAAGGAACACAAAGUGUUAUCAUUUGUACUAAUUAGUAUUGAUGUACUUAUGCUUUUUAAUCUUUAUAAAUAUUAACUGUUUUUAUUGAUGUAUAAGUUAGUUUUAACUCAUAAAAAAGUUUAACUUUUUUAUAUUUUCAUUUUAUUUCUCUCUCUCUCUCUCUCUCUAUAUAUAUAUAUAUAUAUUCAUAGAAAAAUUUAUCCAAACACGAUCAUAGUCCAACUUGCUGGUUAUGUUUAAGGAAGUGUUUGAAAAGGUUUAUAUUGAACUUAUUCAAAUUUAUAAAAUUAGUUUAUAAAUUAUAACUUAAUAUAAGUUUUUUUAAAAUAUUUUACAUUGAGUAGUAUGAGAUGAUUUAGUAUGGAAAUUGUACAAAUAUAUAUAACACAUGAAAUUAUGUUUUAGUGUAUAAAAUUAAUAAGUUAUGAAAUAACAAAAAGACAAAUGAAACUGAAAAAGAAUUCUGGACUCAUUAAUUUUAAUAUGUAUUAUAUGAAUUUUCACAACUUAUUAAUAAAACAUGUGUUAUAUUCACCAAAUAAAAAUGUUAAAUUAAAGUAUUUUAUAUUAAUAAAUGAGAAUGAUGGCAUAUUUGCUUGAUUAGGCCAUAUAGGCCGAGAGAUUAUGCUAUAGGGUCCGAAUUUGCAUUCAUAAUAAUGCAGAGUUUAACAAAGGACAAAAAACAGAUUUUUUUUAUAGAAGGAUUUUAUUUAAGCAAUAAUACAGAGUCCACCUUUUCAACAAAAAAAUGUAGUGUCCACACAAAAAUUCAUUCCUUCCAUGUACGGAUGUACGGAAUAAGAAGGGAAAGAAGCAAUAAGUCUUUGGUAGCGCUUUUUUAUCAAAUAAGGGUAACUUUUUUUUUUUUACGACUUUCAUGUCAUAAUUUUUUAUUUUAUUAUUUUUUAACUGAAGCUGUAAAUAAUCAUUUCUUUUACGAUUUUAAAAUUAUAAAAAAAAAUUUAAUUUUUUUUAAGGUUUAUGACUUUAAAGUCAUAAACCUAUUUUUUUAAAAGUUUUUUUUAAAUUUACAAUUGUUUACGAUUUUAUUUUUAUUUAAAAAAAAUUAAAAAAGUAUUUAAAUAUAUAAUAAAUAAUAUUAAAUUGACUUAUUUAUUAAUAUUUUUUUUAUGAUUUUAUUUGAUAUGUUAUUAAUUUAUUUAAUGUUUUAUUAUUUAAAACAUGUUAUAUAUAUAUAUAUAUAUAUAUAUAUAUAUAUAUAUAUAUAUAUAUAUAUAUUUAAUAUAGUUUAAUUUAAAUGUUUUUUUAUUUAAAGUUUAAAUAAUCUAUUAAUAAAAAUAAAAAAACCACAUAAUCAAUACAUUAAUAUAAAACACAUAAUACAAAUGAAAAAAAAAACAUAAAAAGUACAAGUUAUUUUAGUUAUGUACUUGUUUGUAUGGACACUUAAUAUGAUUAUGUCCUUCACUUCUACAUAAUGAGCUUUCUUAGACCUAUUUGGAAUUGAUUCAUUCAUCUCAUUAUAUAUUUGAGUAGUGGCCGACCUGCUUGAUGUUUGUCAUCGUUUCGAAAGAUCAAACAUAAAAUGUGGACCUAAAUAUUGAGGUCUGUGUCUUCACUUCCAAGGAAAUGAAAAUGAUGUUGAUAAACUUUGAAAAUGUUUUCCAACUUGUAUACAGGAUCAACAAAGUCAUCAUAAUUUAAAUUGCAAAAAGCAUAUGCUGCAAUUGCAUGCAAGUAUGGUAGCCAAAGUGCUUAAAAUUAUCCAUAAUCACAUGACCAUUCAUUCAAUCUGACAGUGCAUGCCAUUGCUCGUCGACCAAGUCGCAUGUUUAUAAUUUCUUGAAACUCAAACUCCCCUGUUUCUCGAGCAUACAUGCGAACAUAAUGCGAGGUAGCAAUGUGUUGAUUUUCUUGCAUCAUGACAUAUACGUCUUCGGAGUACCUAUGUCCUGCCUUUAUCAUAUUCAUGAUUUUGAUGUCGUUAGUAACAAAUGAAUCAUUUAUUUUAUUAAAUGUUUCAUUGAUUAAGGCAGUAAUAGGUAAUGCUCGGGCUCCUUUCAAAACAGAAUUCAUACAUUCGGCAAGGUUGGUAGUCAUAUGGUCAUACCAUUUUCCUUCAUCAUAGGUCUGGGUCCAUUUACUCUUAGGAAUUUGAUCCAACCAAUAUGCUGCUUGUGGAAACUCUGCUCGCAUAGUGAGAAACUUAGCCUCAAAUCGUGAUUUCCUCAUCUCAUACCCUAUGCCAAAAGAUAAAAUAAUGAGUAAUAAAUUUAGUGAACAUGUAAUAAAGCAAGAAUAUGAUGCAUAAAAUAGGAAGAAACAUACCCAUAUUGAUGACUUGUUUGUUUUAAGUCAACAUUUUUAAAUUGUUUGUUGAAAUUUGAUGCAAUGUGGCAAAUGCAAUACGUGGAUGAAACAUUUGGUCCAUUCCAGCCAAUGCAUUCGGAUUGUAAAGCUACUAGCAAACCAGUUCAUCUGUCUGAUAUAAUACCCAAAUUUGGUUGCGGUGUAACAUAUCUUCGCAAAUAAUGCAAGAACCCCAUCCAAGCUUCUUUAGUCUCGCUCUCAAAAAUUGCAAAAGCACGUGGAAAAUUGUUCCUACUACCAUCUUGUCUGAUGACAGUCAACAAAGUACCACGAUAUUUGCCCGUUAAAAAUGUUCCAUCUACUUGCACAAGUGGCUUGCAAUAUUUGAAGUCUUCAAUGUAUGGAUUAAAAACCCAAAAUACACGACUAAGAAUCACCCUAGGAGGGUCAUCGUCACCUUCCUCCAUUGAAGAUAAAGUUUUGUAUUUUACUAUGGUACCUGGUACAAAGUGUUGAGCAGUUGUCAACCAUACAGGCAGGUAACUGUAUGAUUGUUCCCAACUUCCAAAUGUCAUUUCAAGGGCUUUUUGUUUAGUUGUCCAUGCUUUUUUGUAUGAAACAGUGUAACCAAACUGUUGAUGCAUGUCUGCAAUCAAGGUUUUGAUUUCGAUAUCCAGAUUUGUUUUCACUAAAUGAACAAUAUUAUGGGCAAUUACAGAAGAAUCUAACCUAACAUGAUCUUGUGAUAUGACAGAAUUUGUGCAGGUGUGAAUACCGUUUGAUUUCUUCAACUCCCACCUUUUGCAUAUUUUGUUGAACGAUAUUCUUUCCCUCCAAUAACGUCAUUACCAUAUUAAUUACACAUGACAACAUACUUGUCACUCUUGUUCCUGACCACAUCAAAAUUAAAUGAAUGCAUAAAAUGAAAUUGUUUAAUGGCAUUCACGGUUGCUUGUUUUGAUUCAAAUGUCAACCUUUCAUAAAGGUUUGUACUAACACUCCCUCUCCUUUGAUAAGGAUUUGACUACUCUUGAUUUUCUGAAAGUUGGCUACUAAUAGUUUCAAAAUAUGAAGAUGAAUCACUUUGAUUGCUUAGUUCAGCAUGUUCAUGAAAAUCACGUUGUUGCUCGUCAUCAUUGAAGUCACUAACAUUAUCUCUUAUUAUAGGUUCUUCACUAGCCAUUUGUAAAAAAAAAGUUAUUUAUUAGUGAAAUGAAAUCAUUGGAUUGCAUGUAAUGUAAAAAAAAAACUUUUUAAAUACCUUUUCAUGUAUGUAACGCUAAGAAAAUUAUGCCAGUAUGACUCUAAGUAACACGUCAAAAUCAGAGAACCAAUCGAUUAUUUGGAUGCAACAGAUGCAAGAUUGUGUAAAUGUGAAUUAUAAGUGAAAAUGAACCAUCCUUUUAUAAGUUACGCCGAACAAUUCAUGCUACAUGUAUCCACCAAUAUACUAAAACAUAAAAUAAUAAUUUAACAAAAUUAUUUUAACAUGUAUAAUAAUUUAUCUAACUAAACCAUAAAUUAAUAAUAACUAAACACUAAUAUAUUAAACAUAAAAUAAUAAUUUAACAAAAUUAUUUUAACAUGUAUAAUAAUUUAUCUAACUAAGUCGUAAAUUAAUAAUAACUAAACACUAAUAUACUAAAACAUAAAAUAAUAAUUUAACAAAAUUAUUUUAAGAUGUAUAAUAAUUUAUCUAACUAAACAGUAAAUUAAUAAUGACUAAAUACUAAUAUACUAAAACAUAAAAUAAUGAUUUAACAAAAUUAAUUUAACAUGUAUAAUAAUUUAUCGUCACUGAAUUGUCACUGAAUUGUCAAAUGGAAUCAUUGGAAUGGUUAUAUUGUUCAUGGUAAAAUAGAUCAAGGUCUUUUACAUGAAAAUUCAUAAUAUAUGCAAUGGUAUAUACGUCAAACUAGACGAUAUAUAUCGCAUGAAUCACAAUAUUAUCCUGGUCAUCACCAACAUCAAUCAUAUGUAGAACCCAAUGUACCUCCAGUGCAUGUUCCUGGAUUUAUGUACUAACAUCAUCCAUCACAAACACAAUAUCAAUCAACAAGUUUCUCUGGUCACACAUCUCAAGGAUGUCAACAAAGUUUUCAACCACUAGGGUUCUCAUCAUAUAUACAUCAAUACUCCUUUCAAGUCUCUUCUACCUUAAAUGUUUUUUAUGGUCCCUCACAAAUAUUUGCCACCAUUUUCAACACUCCACCAUGUGCAUAUAAUCUAGCACCAUUGAGUUUUUGUUAUCUUUCAUCAUUACCUACUCAAAUGUGUGACAUGGGUCAUGAAGAUGAGGAGGGGGAUGAUGAUAACAACAAUAACAACGAUGAUGAUGAUGAUGGUGAUGAUGAUGAUAACGGUGGUCAUCAUGUUCCUCAACAACAACACACAAUUACACAUGAGCAUCCUAGACCAAGAUAAGGUAGAGGUCGUAGACCAAAAGGACAACAAACAAGACAAAUCCAGUCCAACAAGAUGAGAGACCGAGACGCAUAUCUAGAAGAACUUGGGACAUCGUCUCAUUAUUAGUUUAACAAAUAUGUAAUUUUUAUUUAAAUAUAAUCAAUUUUUAAACUAAAGUCUUUCAAAUUUUUAAUAUUUCAUUUUAAUUUUUUUAUGUAUUUUUGUUCAUAGAUUAUUUAAACUUUAAAUAAAAAACAUUUAAAUAAAACUAUAUUAAAAAUAUAUAUAACAUGUUUUAAAUAAUAAAACAUUAAGAAUCACUUUGAUAAGGAUUUGACUACUCUUGAUUUUCUGAAAGUUGGCUACUAAUAGUUUCAAAAUAUGAAGAUGAAUCACUUUGAUUGCUUAGUUCACCAUGUUCAUGAAAAUCACGUUGUUGCUCGUCAUCACUGAAGUCACUAACAUUAUCUCUUAUUAUAGGUUCUUCACUAGCCAUUUGUAAAAAAAAAAGUUAUUUAUUAGUGAAAUGAAAUCAUUGGAUUGUAUGUAAUGUAAAAAAAAACUUUUUAAAUACCUUUUCGUGUAUGUAAUGAUAAGAAAAUUAUGUCAGUAUGACUCUAAGUAACACGUCAAAAUCAGAGAACCAAUCGAUUAUUUGAAUGCAACAGAUGCAAGAUUGUGUAAAUGUGAAUUAUAAGUGAAAAUGAACCAUCCUUUUAUAAGUUACGCCGAACAGUUCAUGAUACAUGUAUCCACCAAUAUACUAAAACAUAAAAUAAUAAUUUAAAAAAAUUAUUUUAACAUGUAUAAUAAUUUAUCUAACUAAACCAUAAAUUAAUAAUAACUAAACACUAAUAUAUUAAACAUAAAAUAAUAAUUUAACAAAAUUAUUUUGAUAUGUAUAAUAAUUUAUCUAACUAAGUCGUAAAUUAAUAAUAACUAAACACUAAUAUACUAAAACAUAAAAUAAUAAUUUAACAAAAUUAUUUUAACAUGUAUAAUAAUUUAUCUAACUAAACUGUAAAUUAAUAAUGACUAAAUACUAAUAUACUAAAACAUAAAAUAAUGAUUUAAUAAAAUUAAUUUAACAUGUAUAAUAAUUUAUCUAACUAAACCCAAAAUUAAUAAUAACUAAACACUAAUAUACUAAAACAUAAAACAAUAAUUUAACAAAAUUAAUAAUUUAAAAAAAUUAAUUUAACACUAAAUCCUAAAUUAAUAAUAACUAAACACUAAUUUAUGUUACAUAUACAAUAUAUGAUGAAAGUAUAAUAUUUAUAAGAAAGCGUACGAAUGCAAUACAAAUUCAUUAGGAUAUAUAUAUAUAUAUAAAAAAUCAUUUGCAUGAAUAGUGAAGUCGUGUGGUAUUUCACGACUUCAAUAAUUCAGCAAAUGUUCCAUGCUUCAAUUUGCGCCAUCCAUUCUUUCAUGAUUCAAUCUUGGCCGUUGACUCCAAUAGUGAAGUCGUAGGAGGAGAACGACUUCAAAGUCGUUUGUUUCUUCACGACUUUGUCAAUCUGCAAUUGUUGUUUCAUUCCAUAAUGCAAUGAUAUUUUGCGUGUUUAAUGCAGUCAUUAACAUGAUGUCUUCCUUGUGAUAAUCCAGUGAUAUGUUGUGGGUUGGUUGUAGGGAUUAGCAUGCCGUUAAAGUGCUGCAAAAUGCAGCUGAAAAUUGCACCAUUUUUGUUUUACUUGGAGCUUGUUUAAUGUAGUGUGUUGUUCACUCAAUGUGCAACAAAGAAAAAGCCGAAAACAACAGUGUUUUAAUCUCGUGAACCUACCACAUGACUUUCAUUUAUGAUUCUUGAACCUACCAAGGAAAUAGCUAAGACUGAAAAAGCAUAUGAGCAUGUAGUGUUUGUGUUUGCACAUGGUAGCUUUAGAAGUAUGCUGAAAACAAGCUUUGUAGGCUCCAAUAAAUUGCACCCGUGAAGGUUGCACAUGCAUAAAUAGUAUAAAAGUAAAUUGGUGUGUAAGAAGCAUGCACAUGCUACUCACAGUUGGUAUAUCGUGAAGCAUGCUUAUAGGUACAUGAAAUAAUGUAUGAGACCGUGGAAUCUUGUUAUUCACAGUACCUAUCUUGUGAAGGUAUCUCAUGAAGCAUGCUUAUACGAUCGUUUAUGGUGAAAUGAUGUAUGAUACCAUGGAAUCUUGCCAGAAAUAAAGUAGUCAAUAAUAACUUAUGUUGACAGCAAUAAUGGUACUCUAAUAGCUUGAAUCACAGACCAACAUGCUUUAAGUUGUGUAUAUUAGACUUCAACAAGUGUGCAACAAUAUUAUACAUGUUAAAAUAUUAGAAGGUUUUACUUUUUCAAAAAAACAUUGUGUCAACGAGUACCUUACACCACCCUCCUUUCAUACCUCCUCCUUUCAUUCUUCCUCAUUCUUAUUUUCAUCCUUCUAUCCAUUUACCAACGGCAUAUGCACAACCCAGACCAGUUGAUGGCUCCUUGUUGCGCUUACAAGACAACCAUAUUUCAAAUUAAGUGUGGGAAGGCCAAAAGAGAAUCAUUCGUCUGAGGUAUACUUUUGUUUGAGCUUUUACCCACUUGGAUCAAAUAGAUAAUUGGGCAAAAAAUCUAAUCACGUUAGCUGGUUUCAAUCAUGUUAUAAAUGUUGGAAAAGUUAAUAUUAACCAACAUUUGGUUAGUGCGUUGGUUGAACGUUGGAGAAUAGAGACGCGCACAUUUCAUUUUCCACAUGGAGAGACAACCAUUACUUUACAGGAUGUGACCCUAUAGUUGGGCUUGAAGAUUGAUGGAUUGUCGAUAAUCGAUUUCAUCACCGGUGAUGUACGUGUUGCUUGUUAGAUAUUACUAGGGGAAACUCCACCUGAUAAGUAUGUAAAAGGUAAAAUGAUUUACCUAACUUGGUUGCGGCAAAAUUUUCAGCAACUUCUCGUUGAUGCUAAUGAUGUUGUCAUUGCACAGCAUGCUAGAGCUCAUAUCAUGAUGAUUAUAGGCGGUUAUUUGAUAUCAGAUACAUCAGGUGCAAGAGUUCAUUUUUUGUAUCUUCUUUUAUUAUCAAAUUUAUCUGAGGCAAGUCAUUACAGUUGGGGUGCAGCAAUAUUAGCAUCCCUUUUUCGAGCUCUAGAUCGGGUCGUGCUUGUGAAGCCAGACCAAACAAAAAUUGGUGGAUGUUUGUUAUUGCUACAGUCAUGGGCGUGAGACUGCAUUAAAUGUAUUACCCCAAAGAUAGAUCACCUAUCUAUGGAAGAAGUACAAGAAGGACUCGAAUUUCCUCUUGCACGAAGGUGGCCUCGUCUAAGGACCGAAACAAAUAUUCCUACCAUUUCAGUGAGAUUGAUACGCAUCAUAUUUGAUAGACUACAUAUUAAUGAAGUUUAUUUUUUAAUUUUCAUGAAUUAACUAUUUUUUCCAGUUUCCUAUUUGAUUAUAAAUAUGUUACAAUAAUAAUAUAUGUGUUGUAGUUCUUGUGGACUCCUUAUGACACACCAGAAAUAAGGCCAUUAAUUAAUGAUGUAGAGGUAUCAAUGAUUGUUCGGGCAAAAGUUCAUCUCAUAUAUUUUGCAAUUGUGGAAUGACAUCCAAUAGACAGGGUCAUGAGACAAUUUAGACUGCGAUAAAUUAUUUCAGAUGACACAUCAAACCUAGAUCAACUCCACGACAUAGAUAUGAGAAGGAAAACAUAUAUUUUUUGGCCUCACCAUCAUCGCCACUGAAUUGUCAAAUGGAAUCAUUGGAAUGAUUAUAUUGUUCAUGGUAAAAUGGAUCAAGGUCUUUUACAUGAAAAUUCAUAAUACAUGCAAUGGUAUAUACGUUGAACUAGACGAUAUAUAUCACAUGAAGGAACAGUAUCUACUAAGGUUGUAAAUCUACUUUACAAUUUUAAUCAUUCUUGAUAUUAUUAUUCAUUGUUAUUUCUAACUUUAUAAAUUUGAAUCACAAUAUUAUCGUGGUCAUCACCAACAUCAAUCAUAUGUAGAACCCAAUGUACCUCCAGUGCAUGUUCCUGGAUUUAUGUACUAACAUCAUCCAUCACAAACACAAUAUCAAUCAGCAAGUUUCUCUGGUCACACAUCUCAAGGAUGUCAACAAAAUUUUCAAUCACUAGGGUUCUCAUCAUAUAUACCUCAAUACUCAUUUCAAGUCUCUUCUACCUCAAAUGUUUUUUAUGGUCCCUCACAAAUGUUUGCCACCAUUUUCAACACUCCACCAUGUGCAUAUAAUCUAGCACCAUCGAGUUCUUGUUAUCGUCCAUCAUUACCUACUCAAAUGUGUGACAUGGGUCAUGAAGAUGAGGAGGAUGAUGAUGAUAACAACAAUAACAACGAUGAUGAUGAUAAUGGUGAUGAUGAUGAUAACGGUGGUCAUCAUGUUCCUCAACAACAACACACAAUUACACAUGAGCAUCCUAGAACAAGAGGAGGUAGAGGCCGUAGAUCAAGAGGACAACAAACAAGACAAAUCCAGUCCAACAAGAUGAGAGACCGAGACGCAUAUCUAGAAGAACUUGGGACAUCGUCUCAUUAUUAGUUUAACAAAUAUGUAAUUUUUAUUUAAAUAUAAUCAAUUUUUAAACUAAAGUCUUUCAAAUUUUUAAUAUUUCAUUUUAAUUUUUUUUACGUAUUUUUGUUCAUAGAUUAUUUAAACUUUAAAUAAAAACAUUUAAAUAAAACUAUAUUAAAAAUAUAUAUAACAUGUUUUAAAUAAUAAAACAUUAAAAUAAAUUAAUAACAUAUAAAUAAAAUCAUAAAAAAAUAUACUAAUAAAUAAGUCAACUUAAUAUUAUUUAUUAUAUAUUUAAAUAUUUUUUUUUAUUUUUUUUAAAUUAAAAGUUAAACCGUAAACAAUUGCAAAUUAAAAAAGAAACAGGUUUACAACUUCAGUUAAGAAAAAUAAAAAAUAAAAAAUUACGACUUUAAAGUCUUAAAAAAAGUUUUUAAUUGAUUCGUAAAUAAUUUUAUGAUUUCAGUUAAAAAAAAUAAAAAUAAAUAAAGAGUUGUAACAACUGUUACAACUUCUAACUGAGAAGUCGUAAACACUUGUACGACUUAUCCCCUUUUGAUUAUUUUUUUAAAAUAUACUCCCAGUUAGAAAAUUAGGUGAAAUGUUAUCCUUUUUUGGUAAAAAAAAACCCUUUGAUAGGAGGAAGAAAGGGGGGAUGAAGAAAAGAAUAGAGAAAAAAUCAUAUUAAAUUUAUAUCUCUUACUUUAUAUUUUAAUUUUAAAAAAAUAUUCUAUUUCUAUCAUGUCUACUAACAGAGGGUGAAAGAUAAAAUUGUCCAAUGAUUUAUAGUUUUUCUUUUCUUUUCACUUUCUAUACAAUUAAAUAAGAAUUUUCUUUUUUUUUCCCUUCAUCUUUCUUUCCUUUUAUUUUAUUCUUUAAAUCAAGCAUACCAAGGACCCUCUUGCACAUGCACCUUUGUUCGAGUCGAUUUUGAAAAUUGUGUGGGUGCUUUGGAUCUUCAGUUCUACGUUUUGUAGUACGGUAUAUUUUAUGUUAGAACAAAGGAUGAAAGUUUGAAAAAAAGAAAGGAAAAAAAAGGCUUCAAGUCCCACAUCGCUCAGGAUAAACACUUGAAUAGUGUUUCACUCCCUAUAUAUAGAGAGCUCAUUUCUUCAUUUUUCCUUGUCCCAGCUGAGAAGCAUUUCCUCAACUUUUCUUUCUCCCUCCCAUAUUUCAGCCGAUGCAUUUCCGGCAAACUUCUCCCUCUUUCUUUCUGUCGCUCUAAAAUUUUGGUUGGCUUUAAGAGUGACUUUUUAAGUUAUAUUUUUUGGUUGGCUAUAAGAGUGACUUUUUAAGUCAUAUUUUUCGGUUGACUAUAAUAGUGACUUUUCAAGUCAUAUUUUUCGGUUGGUUGUUAGAGUGACUUUUCAAGUCAUAUUUUCGGGUGUCUUUAGAGUGACUUUUCAAGUCAUACAAGAGGGUGUAAUUCUAGAAAAUGUUCCCUCAGUGCAGUGGGAAUCUUAUACAGUGAUCUGGGCUGUUUUAUCCUGGGGACGUCGUGGUUGAUAGUCUGCUUGCACAAUUUUUUGGCAGUGCCACGAAACAUCUUAAAGAAAGCGACAUUGUCCGUGACUCAGCUAGUAAUUUUUUCGGUUUGCCAUAAACUAUUGUUACAACAAUUUUAAGACGUUUUCAGUUCUGCUAUGGCUACCGUAGAUAUUACUGGCUCGAACAGCAAUGACCUCAACAAACCUUUUAGGUUUGAAGGGUAUCAUUUCAAACGUUGGUAACAAAAGAUGAUGUUUUAUUUAACUAUGAGAAAAGUUGCCUAUGUUUUGAACACUGAUAUUCCGAUGGUACUUGAGGAUGCUGAGAAGGAAGUGAAGGAUAAAAUGACUAUGGAAUUAGCUCUCUGGAAUGAAAAUGAUUACCUAUGCAAGAAUUUCAUUUUGAAUAGGUUAGCUGAUGAUCUCUAUGAUUAUUAUAGCCCAUAUAAGUCUGUCAAAUUAGUUUGGCUGGCUUUGGAAAAGAAGUAUGAUACUGAGGAAGCUAGGACUAAAAAGUAUGUUGUUAGCCGCUACCUCAAGUAUCAAAUGACUGAUGAUAAAUCAGUAGAGUCUCAAUCUCAUGAGAUACAAAAAAUUGCUCAUGAUAUCAUAUCAGAGGGUAUGGCAUUGGAUGAGCAAUUUCAGGUUGUUGUCAUCAUAGACAAACUGCCUCCUGGCUGGAAGGAUUUCAAAAACCUUCUCAAAAACAAGACCAAAGAAUUCUCUUUGGAGUCUCUGAUCACACGUAUGCGCAUUGAGGAAGAGGCACGCAGACAAGAUCAGAAAGAUGAAGUGUUGGUUGUGUCUCACAACAACACUAAAAGGAAGAACACAGGUGCAGUUCUGAAGCCUAUUGGCAAAAACUUAAGAAUCAGAACCUCAAUGUGAGCAAUACCUCCAACCGCAACAAGAACCCCCCAAGGGUCCAAUAUGCUAGACAACAUCCACCUGCCAAGAAUAAUCCCGGUGAGCCAUUCCUCUACUACAAUUGUGGCAAACCGGGACAUAUGGCACGUAAAUGCAGAAAUCCUUCAAUGACAGGUGCUCCCCAGGCUAACAUGACUCAAGAGCCAUACAUAGUUGUGAUAACAGAAAUCAAUAUGAUUAGAGGAUCAGAUGGAUGGUGGGUAGACACUGGCGCCUCCCGCCAUGUCUGCUAUGAUCGUGCUAUGUUUAAAACAUACACGAAUGUUGAAAAUAAGAAAGUGUUGCUAGGUGAUUCCCACACCACUACUGUUGCUAGAACUGGAGAUGUUGAACUGAAGUUUACCUCUGGAAAAACUUUGAUUCUCAAAGAUGUGAUGCAUACUCUAGAGAUGAGAAAGAAUCUGGUUUCUGGUUUUCUUUUAAACAAGGCUAGGUUUACUCAGACCAUAGGUGCAGAUUUAUUUACUUUGACCAAGAAUGAGGUAUUUGUAGGGAAAGGGUGCGCCAUUGAUGACAUGUUCAAAUUGAAUCUUGAUAUUAAUAAAGUUUCUCCUUCUGCUUACAUGCUGUGUGAUUUUAAUAUCUGGCAUUCUAGACUUUGUCAUAUAAAUAGUCGUUGCAUAUCUAACAUGAGUAACUUAGGUUUUAUUCCAAAGCUAUCUUCAAAUCACUUUGAAAAAUGUGUUUUUUGCAGUCAAUCUAAAAUAACUAAGAAAUCACAUAAAUCAGUAGUUAAAGAAUCUGAGCCAUUGGAUUUAAUACAUUCUGAUAUAUGUGAAUUUGAUGGAACGUUGACCAGAAAUGGAAAAUGAUAUUUUAUCACUUUUAUUGAUGACUGCUAUGAUUAUACAUAUGUAUAUCUUAUGAAAAAUAAAAGUGAAGCGAUUGACAUGUUUAAGUUAUUUGUAACAGAAAUUGAAAAUCAAUUCAAUAAGAAAAUUAAGAAACUUCGAAGUGAUAGAGGCACAGAGUAUGAUUCGAGUUUGUUUAAUGAGUUUUAUAAUUUGCAUGGAAUCAUACAUGAGACGACUGCUCCAUAUUCACCUGAAAUGAACGGUAAAGCUGAAAGAAAGAACAAAACUUUUACAAAAUUAGUUGUAGCUACUAUGUUGAGUUCUAGUGCAACAUCUUUUUGGUGGGGCGAAAUUUUGUUAACUGUUUGUUAUGUGCUAAAUAGAAUCCCCAAAUCAAAAAGCAAGACAUCUCCCUAUGAGAUAUUAAAGAAAAGACAACCAAAUUUGUCUUAUUUGAGAACUUGGGGAUGUCUGGCCUAUGUAAGGAUCCCAGACCCUAAGAGAGUUAAACUUGCAAGUAGAGCCUAUGAAUGUGUGUUCAUUGGUUAUGCUAUUAAUAGCAAAGCGUAUAGGUUUUAUGACCUAAACGCUAAAGUGAUCAUAGAGUCAAAUGAUGCUGAUUUUUAUGAAAAUAAAUUUCCUUUUAAAUUAAGGGAUAGUGGGGGUACUUCAUCCAGUUAUCUUUCUGCUAUUAGUAGUGAAAAUCUUUCACAACCAAAACCAGAUAUAGAGCCUCGAAGAGGUAAGAGAGCAAGAAUUGCUAAAAAUUAUGGGCCCGAUUAUAUGGCUUAUACAUUAGAGGAGGAUCCAUCAAACCUCCAAGAAGCUUUGUCUUCUUUGGAUGCUGACUUGUGGCAAGAAGCCAUUAAUGAUGAGAUGGAUUCUUUAGAAUCUAACAAGACAUGACAUUUAGUAGACUUGCCUCCUGGUUGCAAACCAAUUGGUUUUAAAUGGAUCUUGAAAAAGAAACUAAAACCUGAUGGUACUAUGGAUAAAUACAAGGCUCGCCUUGUAGCCAAGGGUUUUAGGCAAAGAGAGAAUGUGGAUUUCUUCAACACCUUUUCACCAGUCACUAGAAUAACAUCUAUUCGGGUGCUAAUAUCUCUUGCUGCUAUUCACAGUCUAGUGGUACACCAAAUGGAUGUUAAAACUGCUUUUUUAAAUGGUGAAUUGGAAGAGGAAAUCUAUAUGGAAUAACCUGAAGGGUUUGUGAUUCAUGGACAAGAAGAUAAAGUCUGCAAGUUAGAUAAAUCUUUGUAUGGCCUAAAACAAGCACCUAAGCAGUGGCAUGAAAAGUUUGAUAACUUAAUAGUCUCGAAUGGGUUUAAGGUGAAUGAAAGUGACAAAUGCAUUUACUACAAAUCUGUAAAUAAUAUUUGCACUAUCAUAUGUGUAUAUGUCGAUGACCUUCUCAUAUUUGGUUUAAAUAUUCAUGUAGUGAACGAUGUGAAAUCAUUGUUGUGUAACAACUUUGAUAUGAAAGACCUCGGAGAAGCAAGUGUAAUCCUUGGUAUUAAGAUUAUUAGGUCAAAAGAGGGAAUUUCUCUGGAUCAAUCUCACUACAUUGAGAAGAUCUUAAAGAAAUAUGACUACUUUGGCUGUAAACCUGCUAGUACACCAUAUGAUCCAAGUGUAAAACUGUUUAAGAACACUGGUGAAGGUAUACGACAAACUGAGUACGCAAGUAUCAUUGGCAGCCUUAGGUAUGCCAAUGAUUGUACUAGACCCGACAUAGCCUAUGUUGUGGGAUUAUUAUGCAGGUUUACCAGUAGACCUAGUAUGGAGCAUUGGCACGUUAUUGAAAGGGUAAUGAGGUACCUUAAAAGAACCAUAAACCUUGGAUUACAUUAUAAAAGGUUUCCCGCUGUACUUGAAGGAUACAACGAUGCAGAUUGGAACACUCUUUCAGAUGAUUCCAAAGCAACCAACGACUAUAUAUUUAGCAUAGCUGGUGGGGCUGUUUCUUGGAAGUCAAAGAAACAGACUAUCUUAGCUCAGUCCACUAUGGAAUCUGAGAUGAUAGCACUAGCAACUGCUAGUGAGGAAGCAAGUUGGCUGAGAAGCUUACUUGUAGAGAUUCCUUUAUGGGAAAGACCGAUACCAGCUGUGUUGAUCCAUUGUGAUAGUACCGCGGCUAUUGCAAAAAUUGAGAACCGUUAUUACAAUGGUAAGAAACGACAGAUAUGUCGUAAGCACAACACUGUUAGAGAAUUACUCUUAACAGGAGCUGUUAGAGUAGAUCACGUACGCACUGAUGAUAAUUUAACAGAUCCUUUGACGAAAGGAUUAGCUAGAGAGAAAGUCCAUAACACUUCUAAAAGAAUGGGACUAUUGCCCUUACUAUGAUGAUCAUUCAUGAUGGUAACCCGACCUAAAUGACUGGAGAUCCCAAGAACUAGGUUCAAUGGGUAAUAACAAGUUAUGAAGUGAUAUGAGAUGAACAUGCUGUUAUAAGUGAAAGCAGCAUGAUUCCUGAAGUAACAAGAGGAUGAGUUAUGAAAAAAAUUCAUAAUUCUUAAUGAGAUCUAUACUCUACGUUGAGUGGAGUACCUAGGCUACAGGAGUACUCUUGAUAGACUCACCUAUGUGAAUGCAGAAGUGGGGGCCGCUUCAUAUGAAAUUUUGGGCAAAAAUUUCCUGAGCGUUCACUAUACCGGGAUAGACGUGCAUGGUCUUUAACGCACGGGCUUUGUAGAAUACACCUAUGAAAAUGUUGUGUGUGGUUUGAUGUCGGAGAUAGAGUUCAAGACUUCGAGUCACUCUAGUAAAAUCUGAAUCUUACUCACUAUGCAAAGGUUCAAGUUGUAUGACACCUUUGUUUAUGCACAAUUUUAUGAAAUCCUCGAAAAUCUUCUUUUCAAAUUUCAAGUGGGGGAUUGUUAGAACAAAGGAUGAAAGUUUGAAAAAAAAAGGAAAAAAAAAGAAGAAAAAAAAAGGCUUCAAGUCCCACAUCGUUCAGGAUAAACACUUGAAUAGUGUUUCACUCCCUAUAUAUAGAGAGCUCAUUUCUUCAUUUUUUCUUGCCUCAGAUGAGAAGCAUUUCCUCAACUUUUCUUUCUCCCUCCCAUAUUUCAGCCGAUGCAUUUCCAGCAAACUUCUCCCUCUUUCUUUCUGUCACUCUAAAAUUUUGGUUGGCUUUAAGAGUGACUUUUUAAGUCAUAUUUUUUGAUUGGCUAUAAGAGUGACUUUUUAAGUCAUAUUUUUCGGUUGGCUAUAAUAGUGACUUUUCAAAUCAUAUUUUUCGGUUGGUUAUUAGAGUGACUUUUCAAGUCAUAUUUUCGGUUGGCUGUUAGAGUGACUUUUCAAGUUAUAUUUUCGGGUGGCUUUAGAGUGACUUUUCAAGUCAUACAAGAGGGUGUAAUUCUAGAAAAGGUUCCCUCAGUGCAGUGGGAAUCUUAUACAGUGAUUUGAGCUGUUUUAUCCUGGGGACGUCGUGGUUGAUAGUCUGCUUGCACAAUUUUUUUGCAGUGUCACGAAACGUCUUAAAGAAAGCGACAUUGUCCGUGACUCAUCCAGUAAUUUUUUCGGUUUGCCAUAAACUAUUGUUACAACAUUUUAUGCUCUAUAAGGGAUAUCAGUAUUAUAGAUUCUUUGAUAUCGUAUUUAAUUUUUAUGAAUAAAAAAUUUUAACAUCUUAAUUUUUUUUAUAUUGUAUUCAAUUUUUAUGGAUAAAAAAAUUGUAAUAUGUUAAUAAAAGUUUUUUUUGGCCUUGAAAAAGAAAACGUUUUGUAUCUUAUUUUAGCUACUUUAUUUAUUUAAUGUGAGUAAAUCCAUGCCCAAUAACUACGUUAGUCUAUGCCCCGCCGUUCAUUAGGUUUUCAACUAGGUUUUAGCAUUUCUUUAUUCUGAUGACCUUUUUAAUUACACUGGAUCUUAGGGCCGAGAAAGGUAUCGAUGACCUUUUAAGUUUUAAUUGAAGCCUUUGCUUCGCAUAGACAAAACUAGAUUAAAUCUAAUUUUAAAUAAAUGAAUUAAAGCUAAAUUACUUUUUUCAAUUUUUUUUAUCAAACCCAUUUAAAAUUAGUUUUAGAACCAAUGGUUUAAUUCAAAAUCACUUUUUAUACCAAAUCUUAUAUCUGAAUAUUUUUUUUUAUAAUCAUGAUAUCAAUAUAAAUUUGUCCACCCGAAACUAAUCAAAAAUAUUCAUGGGAGACCUUGAGCGCACAUAAUUAUUGGUUACAUAUAUUUGAAUAUGCUUUUUGAUUUAGUUUAAAAUUAGUUUCAAAAAUGAAUUUUGUUAAAAAGAAAUUGGAUUUAAAACCAAUUUUAGUCCAAAAUCGCUUUUAAAAUUUCGCAUGGACAAAACUAGAUUAAAUCUAAUAGGUUUUGCUACUACUGGUUUGAUUUAAAUUAUGAUUUGGUAACCCUUUUUUUAAAAGUGACCAAUGAGCUUUUAAAACCUAACAUUUCAUUGCAAAUUAUCUAAACUCUCAACCAGUAGACCAGUAGUAGCAAAACCGACCCAAGUGGAUUACAGCCCUAUUGCUCUAAAAUUAAGCAAGCAAAGAAAAAAAAAGAAAUUUUUGUGCAUUAGUCACAUAAGAUUAAGAGCUGAAACAAUUUAUAAUUUAUAUGUCAGACAAAAUUGAAUUUGAAAUGAAAUUCUGUUUAAUGUCAGGGGCCUAUACUACACAUUUCUUUAGUAUGAUUGAGAUGCCAUCUACUCUUCUCACUAGUUAGUUGGUGAGACAGAGGAUAGGAAAAUUUUCUAGGGAACAUCUAUGAUGUAUCAAUUAUAAUCAAUUUUUAACUGAAAUUAACCACUUUUUGAGGCUCCAUUUUUGUCCUAGUUUUAUCUGGGGAAUGGCUUUCUUCUGUUUCUUUCCUUUUGUUACUGAUUUGUUGGUCUUCCCCAUCCUUAACUUUUGAUUUCAUCAAAUGUGGCCUCAGCUUGUUUACAUCUGACUGUUGAACUGGUUUCAGAAAGAAUUCAUCAGCUCCCUCUUCUAGGCAUCUGGUACAAACAAAAAUGAAUGUCUUGUUAGAUUUGAAGUUCAGUCAUGGAUGCAAUCCAAAUUUUUGAAUUGGCUAAAAUAUGUUUUGGAUCCCUCAUAAAUGAUCAUUUUUUAUUUUGGGUCUCUAAUAAUUUUUUUAUUGUAUUGGAUUCCUGAUAUAAUUGGAGGUAAUUUUCCUCACCUGUUAAUCCUUGCUGGGACAUUCUCUGAGGACAUAAUCACCACUGGUAUGUCUUUAAGAGAUUUAGAUUCCUGCAAAUCAAUAACUUCAUGUUAUUAUUUUUCUAAAAUCAAACCAGGGAAGAUAUACAAGUAAUUGAAGGUUGUUAUGACAUCACAAAAAUGGUUUGAGAUGUUAUCAUGAAAGGUUGGCAAAUAUCUCAUUUGAUUAUGUUAUUUCUGAAAUCAGAUCCCAUUAUUUCAAAUUUUAUACUGGAUACCCGGAGAAAAAAAUUAAUCAAAUUUAGUUUAUAAUUUGGGAAAAAUUUUAUGAUGUACGCAAAUUUUGGAAUUGAGGAGGAAAUAGUGAAAUAUUUUUUUGAAAUAUAAACUAGAUCAAUCACAUAAAGAAGAGAAACACAGGCGGCUUUUAUCCGUCUAAAAAUAUCCAAGGAGUUUUUUGUACCUUGAUCUUUCUCAGCAGAUCAUAGCCAGUCAUUUCUGGCAUACAGUAAUCAGUUAUGAUCAGGUUUACUUCUACAUCCUGCAGCAAUCAGAAGUAAAAUGAUUAGAUUAUGCAUCUUUCUAACUUGCCCAAUAAAAAAGUUUAAAAUAUGUAAGUAUGAGUAGCAUUUAGUAAUCAAUAACACAUGAUAUAUGAUAUAAGUGAUAACGGUUACUGGUUACUGAUUGACCAUUGAAUAUGAAAUAAAUAAUAUAGGAAGAAUAAUACUCAUUUUAUGUGUGCUCGAAGCCCCCAAUAAAAAUUAAUCACCACUUUUAUACCAAUACCAUGUUAAAAAAAAAAAAACAGCAUUUAGUGACUUUGCAAGAGAAUUGUACCUGAUGGGAUUCUAGAGCAAUACAGGGAGGAGGCUCCUCAUUUCUCUUCUCUUCAACCAAACCAAGAAACUUCAAAGCCUUACUACCAGAAUCCACAGCAGUAACUGUAAUUACAAAACAUACCAAAAAUGAAUUAGAUUUCAAAUUAGGCAAAACCAAAUUGCCCCUUCAAGUAAUGUAACAUAAAAGACCAAAGAAACCACAUAGUUAUAUGAUUAAUUUCUUUGAUCAAAUAGCAAUCUAAGUCCAUGUUUUUAUAGAAAAAAAAUUACCAUGAAAGGAAGAGGUUUUGAGGAGCCUCUCAAUCAGCAUUCUGUCAAUAAGGCUAUCAUCAACAGCCAGAACAUGGAACUGAGCUUCUGCAGCCAUACCCAUGAUUUUUAUGCUGAUGUGAAAAUGCAAGCCAAAAACAAAGGAAGCAAGGGAGAAUAACAGAAAAAAAGAAGGAGGAAGAGAUAAAUGAAUAAGAAUAGAAGGGUGAAAAGUGAUGUGAUGAAGAUGAAGGAGGGUGGCAUGCACAUUUUAAAAGGGGGCACACAUCAUGGUCAAGAAGGAUACAAAAAUCCACCAAGGAAAUCUGACAGUUUGGAAAGCAAGAUCCGACAGAUUUCAUCAAGAAUCUGGCGGAUCUUCUGGGGUUGAUUUUUGAAUUGAAAAACAAGCAAAGAAAGGUGCUGUUUAUUGUACCAAACUCAAAAUCUGACUUGUUUAUUACUAUUAUUAUUAUUAUAUUAUUCUAUUUGACCCUUUUGCUUAUUGUUAAAGACAAAAUUAUUGAAGUGAAUAAAUAUAAUUCAAUUGAUAACACACGCUACUAGAGAAUAUUUGAGUUUGAUUUCUAAAAAAAUCACUCUUGAGGAGAUGUAAUAAGUUUUAAACUAUGUUCUACGAGAUAUUUUAGUUAAUUAUUGAAGUGAAUAAGUAUAUUUCAAUAAAUAAUUUUUUUAAAAUAAUUUCUAAUUUUUUUAACACUAAUUGAAGUAAUUUUUUUAAAAUGUCCCUUUCUAGUUUUUUAUUUGUUAUUUUUUUAGCCUUAAAAUAUUUAUUUAAAUUUUUAUAAUCCUUUUUAAAUAUAUUAUUUUAUAUUUUUAAGUUACUUUGACAGUAAUUUUAUCGAAUACUUAAAUUUAAUAAAAUAAUUUUUAACUUCUAGCUGUCUUUUAACUUUUGAGCCUCCGGUUAAAUUUGUCUAAUAUAAUCUUAAGUAUGACAUAAAUGGUUAAAAUUUAUAAAAAUAUUUAAGUUCCUACCAAAUAAUCAAAUGUUGUAAUUAAGGUGAUUAAUAAAAGAGAUAAAACUAUAGGGGUGUGCUACACUGUUCUCUUCCCCCUACUAUUGCCCUUUCACGAGACCAAACCAUCAUUGUUCACUGUUCAUCAGAGUCGUGUGGACUCUAUUCUAUUCCAUGCACGUGCAUGACCUGCCUAGCACUAAGUGACCCACGUACUAGUACAACUAUACAAGCCAGUACAAAACGUAAUUUUCUUGCUUUAUUACUAUUAUGAAAUGUUUGUAUCUAGUCCUUUUUUUAAGAGCCAAUAUUGACCUCAUAUAAACAAUAUACUAGAAUUUUCAAACUUCAAUGGUCCCUAACCGAUUCUGUUGCUCUUUCUUAGAACAUUCCACUAUUCUAGUUUUUUUCUUAUUUAAUUAUUUACUCGUAGACCCUAUUUGAUUUGCUUCUCUUUUCCGAGUUUUAAAUUUUCUAAUAUUAAAAUAAUUAGAGAAAGAAUUUAGACAAGAAUGGUAGUUACAAGCCUUUGAUAUUCCAAAAUUACCCUCUCAAAUUAGGCUGUCCUAAAAGAAUACUCUUUUGUCUUCUCUGUCACAAAAUCAGCAUUGUUCUGUCACCGGCAUAUAUAAUUGACUUUCCAAUUAUUCCUUUUUUUUAUCUCGAAUUUUCUUUUCAGGGGUCAAUAUUUAUUAUUUUAAAAGAUAUAUAUAACUGGAGCAGGAUCGUGUGAGUGAUUAAGCAAUUGCAAAUAUUUCAUUUUCUGAAUUUUUUUUUUUGUGCAAAUCAUCUGACAGCAUAGAGUAGAAAGAAAAAGAAAUAUUUCAGUGUAAUAUUUGGCCAGAUUGUAUUAUUUUGGUCAGUAAGUGAAAUAAUAUCUGAUGCACGACAAGUCCUCCCUUGAUGGAGGGGCCAUGAACACCUUGGGGGCAUUCAUAGAAUCAUUUGCGAUAUUUUUAAUCUUUUUCGUUUGAAGCAUAUUGGAAUAUAUGAAUAGAAAAUAUAUUGGAAAAUAUUAACUGUCAAAUCCUUUUACUUAAUUGGGGGAGCUUUUUUUGUUUUUUUAUUAGGCAUAUGAAAGUUGGAAAUAAUAAUAAUAAUAAUAAUAAUAAUAAUAAUAAUAAUAAUAAUAAUAUGCAGAAAAAAAUUUAGAAUGAAUUGUAACAAAAAAAAAAUUGUAGAACGAAUUAAAACUUUUGAUUUGGAUUAAAGAGAAUCGAAGAAUGAAUUAAUUUAACGACUUUCUUUAAUUAAUUAAAUCAUUUUAUAAGUGCAAUUAAUCCUUAAAAGAUGAAUGGUAGUCACAUACACUCUCUAACACCUUCUUUUGGAUAUUUUUUUAUGAUCGGUUAGAAUGGAAUGAAAAUCACUCAUUUUGCUAUAUUUUGUUUCUUUCAAUUAAUGUUUUUCUCUUCUUAUUUAUAUUAAAUGAGAAAUAAAGCCUACCAAAAUUGAUAAUUUUUAAUAAAUUUUAAUCACAAAUCAUAAAAAAUAUCUAAAAGAAAAUGUCAAAGAAAGUCUUACUAGCAUUUCUCGUCCUUAAAAUCACUAUAUGCCAAAAAAUAAAAUUCUCAAAAUCACUAAACAGAUUUUACAACACAGGGAAUGAAUUUCAAAAAUAUCAAUAUCAAUUUUGAUAGAGUAUGAUUUUUUACUUCAAAUUCGUGAAUUAUUUGAUUACCGCAAGAUUUUAAGAGGAAAAACUUAUUUUGAUUUUAGAUUGAAAUCAUCAAUUUGUGUGAGGGAAGAUUUGAGAAUAUAAAUAUCUACCUAAGAACCUGAACCCACAGUGUACGUAAUAGUAUAAACUUGNNNNNNNNNNNNNNNNNNNNNNNNNNNNNNNNNNNNNNNNNNNNNNNNNNNNNNNNNNNNNNNNNNNNNNNNNNNNNNNNNNNNNNNNNNNNNNNNNNNNUUAACAUACAUCGAUUCUUGGGAAGGUCAGGAAAACCUUCUCCGUCAUACCUAGUUUUGAUAUUCUAAGUAACACUUAAGCUAUAAGUUAUUGCAGCAUUAUGUAGUUGCAUAAAUGGAUUAAGUUAAAUAAUUAGUUUACAUUGAGCAUAGGAAUAAGAUAAAGCCAUAAAGAUGUUUUCUGGUACGUGCCUACAAACAUUAAAUGAUCGGGCACUUCUGUUACGUGGGUGGAUAAAAAAUUUAACAUGUCAAAACUAAUUAAUUAUUCACCUUAUUAUCUGACAUUUUUCUAAUGUUUUUUUUAACAAAUACUUUUUCAAGAGUUUAUAAUUAUUUUAAAACCCCAUAAUGUCAUUUUGCAUAAAAUUAACUAAUUUGGAUGACAUACUUGUAAAAAUUCUUUCACGUUGAUUCUUUAGAGUUAUCAAGUGGCCUGUGGACAUGCCAAUCUCAAACCAUCCUAUAUAUGAAACCCUAGUGUCCAACCAAUUAGCGAAGAUUGAAUCUUAAAUAGUAAUCACCAAUUAGUGAAGAAAAUAUCCAAAUUCCCCAUUUGUUGGACCAUUCUUCACGUGUGAAAGUAACUAAUCCCAGGACGGAUCCAGAGUGUUAGGUGGCCGAAUUUUAUUUUACAUAGUUAUUUAAAAAUAAAAUCUAUUACUAGAAAAUUUUAAAACAAAUAUCAACUUAAAAAUCUAUUUUUCUUAUAUAGUUUUCUUUAUUGAUAUUUUUAAUUUAUUUUUUCUUUCUUUUCUUGGAUAUACAAAAAGGAUCUUAAAGGAGGAAGGGAAGGACAAGGCCCCUGCUUUCUCCUGGACCCAUCCCUAACUAAUCCGUUACUAGAAUCAGACGUUUUGUAUAUCCAUCAAAUUGAAAACCUAUAACAUUUUGUUAAUUAUUUGUUGUUUGUUAUCAUAUGCUUUGUUGUUGUUACCAAAGAGGUCUAAUUCAGUUGAUUGAACAAAGUGUGUGAUUGUUAUAGACUUCAUGAUUAUUAGUCAUAUUUUUUCUUAUGCAUGGAUUUAUGUUAAUAAUUGACAAAUUUACAAUCAGUUGGUGGGAUAAAUGAAGGAAGAGACAUGGUGUUCAUUUGUGUGUGUGGCAAUGAAUUUGUUAAAUUAUAGUAUAUAAAACUUGUUUUUCAAUGAGCAGUUUUGUAUCUUUGAAGUUGAUAUCAAAAGUGCACAGAAUAUGGUUCUGAAAGGUAACCUUCCCCAAGUCAUGGAUCGAUCUGCCUUCUGUGGAAGAAAGGUAUUGGCGUAUUGCUUGUGUAGACACUUUGCGACAAUUAGGACAUAUGAGAGGAAUAUACGAAAGAGAUUUUUCCAGUGACCUGUAAAGAAAAGUGAAUAGAAAUGAUGUAUAGUUUUAGUGAUGGUUUUGUUUUUGUUCUGCAGUUUUAGUGAGUGUAGGAAUAAUUUCUUUUUGUUGGCCACGGAUUUGUCGUAUCUAGGGUUGAUGGACCUCUAGAACGUGUUGUAACAAACCCUAAAAAUAUCACUGGGAUGAUUCCAAAUGAGAGAGAUAAAAAGGAGCUUGAAAUAGAUCCUACAAGAGUUGUGAUAUGUGUCUACUUCAAAAUGGAAUGGAAAUAGGAGAGACAAAUUAGAUCAAGAAAGAAGAGAGGUAAAGGAGAAAGUAAAAGAUAAAUAUGAUAAGUGAUGUGAUUAAAAAGCUAGGUUUUGAAAGAAAUACAAACAAAUAGGAUGAAAAUAUGAUAGGAGAAAAAGUAAAUAUUUGUUUAUAUUUUUUCCUUAAAAGUGGUACUUUAAAAUUAUAAAAAAGAUUAAAAUUAAAAAGAGAAGAGAUGUACUUCAAUCAGGCAGCUAGACAUUAUUUCUUUUGUCUAUUAUUAAUUAGCCACGAGUAUGUAGCUGAAUUGAAUUUCAAGCAUAACUAAUUCAUGAACUGUUACUUCAUCUUUGUUGGACGAUGUUGUAAAUUUGGUUUAUUCAUUGUCCUUAUUGCUAAUAUGAAACUUAUUCUUCAAUUUUUCAAGCAUGAGGUUAUACUUUGGUGGCAUGUAACAUGCAAUGAAUUAAUUUGGUCGGUGAACAACUUUUGUACAUAAUUGGCUCAAGGACAUAUGGAAGUGUAUUUUGUACAUACAACAAGAAAGAUAUUUUACGUGAGUGACUUAAAGAAAUGAUCGAUAAUUUUUUAUUCAAUAAUAAUUUUCCUAAUUUCAAAUAUCCAAAUUUAUUACCAGUAACAUGCUGUCUAAGUAGCAUUAAAUUUGAUUUUUUUAAAACAAAGAUUAUGUACGUUUUAAUUAGUUUUUAAUUUUUUUUUACUGGUUUGUUUAUAUUUGAUAAAUAAAUUUUAUUAAUAAUUUUUAAUGUUUUGUAAAACAUUACUUAAAGUAUAUAUGAUUUUUUUAAAAUACUAACUUCUAACUUUUAACUUUUUAUAUUUUCUUUAAUAUAUUUAUCAAAUUUUUUAAUUACCUUUUAUAAAAUAAAUAAUGAUUUUAUUGUUUUUAUAUUAUUUUAUAUUUUUUAACUAUUUCAAUAACUAAUUUUAUUGAACACUUAUAAUAUAAUAAACUAAUUUUUUAACUUUGAGGUACAUGCCAACUUUUAAUUUUCAACUAAAUAUUAUUAAACAUAUCUAAAAUUUCAGAUUCAACUCUUAUAUGAAUAAUAAAAACGUGAUUAGAAUGAGAGAUUUCACCAAAUAUAACCCACUAUGAAGAUUAUCAUUAACUAAAUCGGUUAAUAUACUCACGAUACCAAUUAGAUGAUAAAAAAAGAGUUAAUUUUACUAAUUAUUAAUGGAUAUACUUGUCCAUAGUAAGAAUAAUAGUGAUAAGAAAGAUAAUCUAAUACCAACAAUCUCUGGACCACUAGACAAAUGAUAUAUGCAAGUUGCAAGGAAACCAAGAAGAUUGCGAUAAUAUGGAUGUGGAAUUGUGAAGAUCAGCUAUUGAUUAAUUAUUGUUAGCAUAGCAUCCCAUCAGAUUCAGAUCCCAAUUAGAGAUAUGGUGACUCAGGUGCCACCUUUCCUUAAUGGGCACACCACGUGCUUAGAUAUACAAUUUUUUUGUGUGCAAUAAUAAUCCUGCGUCAUCGAUCAGGACCACAUAUUGAACUUUGAUUACAUAUCUUAUAUGGAUUGGUUGGUUUUGCCUGUUGCAGAUCUUGUUUGGACUUUGCGAGAGAAGCACUUAUUUGAAGCAAUAUUACGGACAUAAGAACGGACACAAAAUAAAACGAAAUUAAUGUUUUUGUUUGGCUGCUUCCAGUGGUUUAGGAUCCAUUUUUUGGUGAGUUUCCGAUGGUUUAGGAUGAGUGGUAUUGCAUAUUUUAUUUUAUUUUUAUCAUGGUAUUGUAUGUUUUAUUUUAUUAUUGUUUUGAUUGUGUCAUCCCCACAUUGAGGAAAUUAAAGAAGUGAGAUUAUAGAGGGGAUGAAGUGCUAAGUGCGUAAAAUAUAUAUCUAAGAUGAUAUGCCCUUUUUUUUACAGACGGUGAUAUGCCGUUUUUAAAAUCCUACACCCUUAAUUCAAAAGGUUUCUUUAAUUAAUGUGUCAAAAAGAUAUUUUUACAGAAGAAAAAUAUUAUAAACUUUAAUAAAAUAAAUAAUUUCACGAUGUCCAAUCUCUUUGUCUCUAUCUUUUAUUAAAAAAAUGACAUAUUUUGUGUCACUAUACAUCUAGUGUUAGAAGAGAAGGAAAAAUUAGAAAGGAUAAAAUAAUAAAAUUAGUAUCGAAUUAUUGUUUUUUUAUCUCUUAUAUAAUUUUUUAUAUUCAUGUAAAAAAUAAUCUUAUAGGAAUAAUAAAUAUUUUUUUAUGAAAGCAAAAAUAAAAUUAUUAAAUAUGUUCAAGUAAAAAAGUUUAUGUUGUGAGGGUAAUUUCUAAAAAUAGUUUGAACAAUAUUGCAUGACGUGCUGAUUAGAUGAAGGAAUACAUGAAUGUAGAAAUAGAUGAAAAGGAUAUUGGAAAUUUAAAAAAUGACUAAAAGAUAAUAAAACAGAAUAUUAAUUUAAGAAUAUUAUUCAUAUUUGAUUUUUUUUAAGGAUUAUUAAAAUUUAAAUUUUUAGAGACUAAUAUUAAAAUUUAAUUUUUUCUAGAAGCAAUAAAACAUUUUUAACUAAAAUGACGUAAACAAUACAUUGUUACACAGUUAUGCGACAUGUGACUAGCACUUAGUUGCUACAUCACACAAGGUAUCCACGUGUAUAAUACUAUCAUGUAGUUAGGUUAGAUAAGUCAACAUUUGUCUCUCAUAAUUAACUAAUUUGAAAUGAAACUAUUUUAACUUAACUUGAGAUGUUAAGUUUAAAUUUUAAAUAUAUAAUUAUAUUAAAUAUUUAGAGGAAAAUUCUGAUACUGAUAGUAAUUUUAUCAUGCUUCAACAUAAUAUUUUUUAAUAAAUAAUAUAUGUGAUCUAUACCAGAAAGACAAGUCAACAUCUGAUAACUCAAAAUAUUAAAAUUGUUGACAACAAAUAAAUAAGGAAUUAAAAGAUGUGAAAAUUUUGAUAAAAACUAAACCAAAACUAAAUAGAAAAAAGAAUACGCAUUGAUAGUUUAAAAUAAUGUUAUAUUCUUAUUAAUCACAAACCAUCGUAUAUAUAAUAAGUUUAUUAACUUUUAAAUUACUUUAAAAAUAAUAUCCACUAUGAUUUAAAAUUGAAUAAUUAUAUAAAAUUAUUUUAUAUAAGAAGCAUAUGACUAUUAAACCUAAAAUUAAAACUCUACAUUUAGAACUGUACGGUGAUGAAACACAUAUCUAAUCAAAUGUGGCUGAUUUGAGUAUAAUUUAUUUCUAGAAUAAGAUUUUGUGUUUGAAUUUUACGGAUGAAAAAAAAACUUAAUUAAUUAGAAAAAAAAAGACACUACUAAAAGUGAAAAAAUCAAAUUUCUUGACAUAUAUUAAAUAUCAAAGCUAGUAAAAACUAUAACAUAGUGACCCAAAAAAAAAAAAUCUAACCUGUAAUUUUAUUUUCUUAAAAAAAACAAAAAAACAUUUGUAAUUUCAGAAAUAUUCUAAUGGCAUUUAUAUAUACAAAAUGACCGAUAGUUUUUUUUAUUAUCAAGUCCAAUAUCAAUAAUAUAUAAAUUUAAUUACUGCUUAAAAUUAUGAGUAUUGAUUAAUUUAGUUUCUAAAAUUAUAUAAACAUGACUUUAAUCCAUAAAACUAUUAAAUAAUAGGAAUUGUUUUAUCGAUACUUCUAAACAAUUGAUUCCUAGCCAUUUGAUUAUUGAAAUGGCUUGUUAAUAUAUAAGUACUUUUAAUUAGUAUAUACUUUUAAUUUUUAUACUAAUAAUUUGUGAUUGAAUGAGAAUAUAAAAAAUUACAUGAUCAUUAAAUUCUUAUUUUUUUUCAAUUUUCAUGCAUUAUUAGUAAAAAGAUUUAAACAAUAUUAAUGAAUUAGAAAUCAUUCUAGGCUUCACUUUUACAAUAGUUAUUAUAAAAAUUAAUAAAUUUAUUAUAAUUACAUAGAAAUUUAUAACUAGAUGAGAAUAAAAAAAUUAAUUAAAUUCUUAUAUUUUUAUAGUUUGAAUUUAUAUUUAUAUCAUUAAAAUACUUCUUUAGAAUUAUUUUUUAAAUUUGUAUAAUUUUAUACUUCACAUAUAUCUAUAAUCUUGUGUAUUACAUACAUAAAAGAUUUAUCAUGCGAUAAGAUUGCAAUUAGAUGGAAUUUUUUUUUUUGGUGAAAAUUAGAUGGAUAAAUAACACAAGAUGAUUUGACAUAAACAAAAUCAAUAAUGAAAAUCAGAAAAUAAAUAAAAACCAAAGUCUUCAAUCUUUUGUAUGCAUGCACACAUUUCAAAUUUAAAUCAAUAUUUUUUACUAUAUUUGAUAAAACUAAUUGAAAAAUUAGUUAGUACUACAAAUUAAAAUAUGGAAAAUUAGUUUAUUAAAUUAUAAGUGUUUCAUAAAACUUGUUAAAAUAUCUGAAAAAUAUAAAAUUACAGAAAAUUAAUAAAAUCAUAAUUUAUUUAAAAAGGAUUAUAAAAAAAUGGAUAAAUAUAUUUAAGAAUAAAAAUAAAAGAAAAUAUAAAAAAUUAAAAGAUAAAAUUUAACGAUUUUAAAAAAAAUACUUUAGGUAGUAUUUCGAAAAAGAUAAAGACUACUAAAAAAAUUUAUUUAUCAAAUAAUAAAACAAGUUUUUAACUAAUAAAAAAAUUAAAAAUUAGUUGAAAUGUGUUAUCCAAACAUAUCAUUUAUCGUGAUAAUAACGUGAAAUUAUAGAGUAAUUGGAGUUUAAUUAACCAAUGUGUUGUUGAUUUAAUGAAGUUGCAAUCUUGGAGGGAAAGGAAUUGAAGACACAUUAUAAUACCGUGUCCCAUGCAUGCGCAAAUCAAAACCACGCGUAUUAUAGUGCCUAAGGUUAUCAGAUCGAUACAUGAUGUUUUCAUUUCCAUCUCAUUCUUUUUCACUUUGCACAUGCAUGUUUCCAAAAAUUUUCUGGGUGAGGUAUACACAAAGUCAAAAUCAACGCAUUAGUAUUCUUUGUUUCAAUCAAAGACCACACAGCGAUCACGGGAUCAAAUCUUCUUUAAUUAUGCUAGUCGUUGAAAAAAGAAAUUCCUCUUUAAUUAUAUUAGUCGUUGAAAAAUUGAAAAUUUUAAUCAACGUUUCUUUUAAGUUUCAACUUUCAAUGAUUUAAAUCAAAUGAUUAAACAAAAAUAGUUAAUACCUUAAAGUUAAGGUUUAAUACUAUAGUAAUAUUAUUAUAUAUGUAUGGAAUCUUUCAUCAGUAGCUGAUAUGCAAUUUCUAAUAAAGGAUGUAUCAAAAUUAAAAAUUAAAUCGCAAAUAAAAAUUCCUUUGAGAACAAUAAGUAACCAUUUUAAGUAAUGCCUUCUUUGAAAACAUAAACAAAAUGUGAGAGUUUAAUUCUGUUUUGUGUGGUGUAGAUUUAUUUGUACUUUGAAUAUAAGAGAGUAACAGAAUUUUAAAAAUUCUGUUAUAAGUGCUAGCCUAAAUGUGACGGGUUGUUACUCUGUUCUGCAUGUAUAAAAGGACAUACAUACAUCUUAAUAAAGAGGAUUAUUCAUUCUAUCAUUUUCUUAGUCUCUAGUGCUAUUCCUAGUGUGUAGGUGUGCAAUUCUUUGCUUGAAAACAGUGAGUGAUACACGAGUGAAUGUGUGAGGGAGUGAAUUGCAUCUCUUGCAAUUGAGUGAGGAACAGGGUGUGUUCCAACAAUUGGUAUCUAGAGCAUUGAUUUCGAUAGAAGGGGCAAGAAUCGCUAAAGAAAGGUUCUCGGAGGUGUUCUUAAAGGAGUUCUUUGAUGGCUGCAGUAUCUGGCUCAAUUCCUGCAAAUCUACCAGUUCUCACAGGAAAGAACUAUGAAAAUUGGAAGAUUCAGAUCAGGGUGGUGAUGCGAUUCCAAGGGGUUUGGGAGUUCGUAGAAGAAGGUUAUAUACCUGUGGGAGAGAGAGCAACAGAUGAACAAAAGGCUGUUGAUAGAGAAAAAGAAAAGAAAGAUUGCAAGGCACUUUUCAUUUUGCACCAAAGUGUAGAUGCUGCUAGCUUUGAAAAGAUAGCAAUGGCUCAAAUCUCCAAAGAAGCAUGGGACAUUCUGCAGAAAUCUCAUGAUGGAGCCACAAAAACCAAGAAGAUCAAGCUGCAAACUCUGAGGAGACAAUUUGAACUACUUCAAAUGGAAAAGAAUGAAUCAGUUGCUGAGUACAUCACAAAAGUGCAGACAAUGGUGAAUUCAAUGAAGGGCUAUGGAGAAAAGAUAAUUGUGCAAUCAGUUGUAGAGAAGGUGCUUAGAACCAUGCCACCCAAGUUCGACCAUAUUGUGGUAGCCAUCAAGGAAUCCAAAAAUCUUGAAGAGCUUAGCCUAGAGGAAUUGCAAGGAUCUUUGGAAUCUCAUGAACAGAGAAUGAAUGAAAGGAUAAAUGAGAAGAAAAGUGAACAAGCCUUGCAAGCAAGGUCUAAUCCAAAGAAGCAUGGUGAUAGAUGGAAGAAAGAGAAAACUGAAGCAAAGAGCAAUAAAUGGAGGGGAAAUCAGAACAAUGAUAAGGACCACAAGAAAGGAGGGGGAUCCAAUUCCCAAAACUCUUCAAAUAGAAAGAAGUUCAACAAAAGAAGUAUUCAAUGCUUUAACUGUCAAAAGUUUGGACAUUUUGCUGAUGAGUGUUACAGCAAACCCAAUAACAAAAGAGAACCUAAAGGUGAUGAUGCAAAAUUAGCUCAGGAAGAAGAUGAUGACACUGAACAGGUACUGCUAAUGGUAACUAAUCAAAUUGAAGGGGCAAGUGAUAAUUGUUGGUACCUAGACACAGGUUGCUCCACUCAUAUGACAGGAAGAAGAGAGUGGUUUCUCAACCUUGAUCAAUCUGUGAAGAGCCAAGUCAAAUUUGCUGAUGAUAGAAUCUUGACUGCUGAAGGAAUUGGGAAAGUCCUUAUCAAAACAAAGGAUGGAGGUCAGUCUUGCAUCACUGAUGUACUUUUUGUACCAAGUAUGAAAAGUAAUCUCCUCAGCUUAGGCCAAUUAUUAGAAAAGGGCUUUAUGACUAAGCUUGAAAACAAGAUGUUGACAGUGUUUGACAGAAAUCACAAGCUCAUUUUGAAGUCCCUUCUUUCAAAAAAUAGAACAUUUAAAAUUGAGAUUGAUGUGAUAGAACAUAAGUGUUUUACCACUACAGUAAACAGUGAAGAGUGGUUAUGGCAUUACAGAUUUGGCCAUUUAAAUUUUAGAGAUCUGAUUAAGCUAAACUCAAGAGAAAUGAUGUUGGGUUUGCCUCAGAUCAAGCCUCCUAGUGAAGUAUGUGAUGGUUGUUUACAGUGUAAGCAAUCAAGAAGCACUUUCACACAAAAUGUACCAAUCAGGGCAAAGGAGAAACUUGAGGUGAUUUACUCUGAUGUGUGUGGCCCUAUGCAUACUGAAUCUCUUGGUGGAAACAAAUACUUCAUAUCCUUUAUUGAUGAAUUGACUAGGAAAGUAUGGGUUUACCUAAUAAGAAGGAAGAGUGAUGUCUUUGAAGUCUUUGAGAAGUUCAAAAAUAUGACAGAAAAGAAAAGUGGCUCAUUGAUCAAGAUAUUGAGAACAAAUGGUGGUGGUGAAUAUGUUUCUGCAUAAUUUCAAGAAUUUUGUGAUCAAGAAGGCAUAAUUCAUGAAGUGACUCCUCCCUACACACCUCAACAUAAUGGAGCUGCAGAAAGAAAAAAUAGAACCAUAAUGAAUAUGGUAAGGAGCAUGUUGAAAGGCAAGAGUCUACCCAAGUACUUGUGGGGAGAGGCAGUGUCUACAACUGUCUUCAUCUUGAAUAGGAGCCUUUCAAAGAGAUUGGAAGGAAUAACACCUAAAGCAGC
This 49781-nucleotide long non-coding RNA is filed under the name Glycine max (soybean). RNAcentral's name for it is "long non-coding RNA (GMAX_LNC002462)". The record is from RNAcentral. Lineage: Eukaryota; Viridiplantae; Streptophyta; Magnoliopsida; Fabales; Fabaceae.